RNAcentral lists this long non-coding RNA (50393 nucleotides) under Panicum hallii. RNAcentral describes it as "long non-coding RNA (PHAL_LNC000396)". The record is from RNAcentral. Lineage: Eukaryota; Viridiplantae; Streptophyta; Magnoliopsida; Poales; Poaceae.
UAGCUAAUUCAUUGAAUUGUUCAUUGGUCAAUUCAAGUUAAAGAUGCUUGUCUUUGUUUUUUGUGAUAACAAUAAACAUGUCUUUGUUAGUGCAAGAGACACUUUGGGCUUUUAGAAUGUAAAGUGAUUGUUGAUAAGAAGCUUCAUGGACAAAUCAUGUGAUGUCUUUGACAAGCUUCUUUGUACUUUAGCUUUUUUUUUUUGUAAUGCAGACUUUUGUCUACUGGUUGUGGUUCCUGUAAAAACAUUACUUUACUUUCGUGGGUUAUAGAGAACUUAAAGCAUACUACUUUGCAAGGAGAAAUUUCAUUAUUUGGGUCACGAAAAUAUUAUGCUGGCUGAUUUGGCUAUUUUCUUUCUCUCUGGAAAUUAUCGUUGCCAAAUCUCUGAAUGAAACCAGAUGGUGUUCAGUCAGGCAUAUACAUGUUGCUUUGUUUCGUUUAAGGUUGAUUGGAGCCAAGGGUUCAGUAACCAGGUCCAGGUGGAUCCUUAUCAGAUGAUCACUUUUUCGUUCUAGGUGACUGCUGUGCUAACUGAUGACUUAUGGUGUGCUGCAUCCAUAUUUUGAUAAGUUUGCAACCUUGAAAGAAACUACUGUGUCUCCUGUACAUCUGUUUGCACGGUAUCCUUAGUCUUUCGACGCUAUGGAGAACUCAACACUGUAAGAACUUGCGGCAAUCUGCUGCCCAAGUAUUCUUUACUUAUGUAAGUACAACAUUUCAACGGUCAAGAAAGUAAUGUGUUCCAUCACCUGUAAAAAACAGUUCCUUCCCCUAAGUGUUGGUAUGUGUGGAUGCAUUUCUGUGCCUACAUCAAUUAGUGUUUGAAACAUGCUCUGCUUACUCUAGUGACUUACUGGAAACUACUGUUUGGCUGCAAAAACCUGAAACCUCCUCUCCUUGCCUGUUCAUCAUGUCAUUUCAGCAUCUUGAGACAAGGCUGUAUUCCCAUGAUUCUAAAAGGCCAGCUGCACACGCAUCCAUAGUGAUAGAAGGAGAACCCUCACCAGUUCAGAUCUCACAAAUGCAACUUGGAAACUGAUUGAUCUCCCAGUCAUUACAGGCCAGCAUUUCAUUUCUCAAAUGGUAGUUGCAGGCUUUCUUGAGUUGCUACACUGAUCGACCUGAAUCCUGCCGUCAGACGUCCCCAGUUCACCUGCAAUACUAAGGAAAUCAGGAAACGCUAGGCCAGGCGCCGCCAUCGGUGCGUGCGCGUGGGCUUUAUAGGUCCCUCGAUCGCCGUCUCAGGCGACGCGGCCGCCCGCCGGCGUCCGCGGAGGAGAUCAGGACGUAAGAGGAGCGCGCGUGAAGCCGUAAGCAUCGGCUAGGAUAGGUGGAUCUCGACGGAUCUUCGCGCGGGAUGCGUGGGGACGGGCAUAGCACAGCCGCGGAGAGCGGCGGCAGCGCCAUCUCGUCGGCGACUGCAGCACCGCCGGCCUUUUUAUCUGUUGGCACCAGGUAGUUUGUUUUUACAAAUAGGACCUUUAUAUUUACAAAUAGGACCCUAUUUUGCAUCGCGAUUACUAAUCGAGAUCCGAAUAUUUGCAAAACUCCCCCUAUAUCGAUCCGGGUAUUUUCACAAAGCCUACUAAUUACCUUCGCUGUGGUCAGUGAGACGCUCCGCAAUACGCCGGUGGCACGUGCUCAGAGCGUGAGAUUCCGAGAAUGAACUUGAGAAGAAGAAGAAACAAUUGAAGAGGCAGUUAGCCGCCAUAGAUGUUGGGCCGGGGCUCUUGUUGAGCAAGCAGCAGGGAAAGUGAUGGUUUGGAGCAGUAGCGGAGGACGCGACAAAAUCAAGGUAUUGCCGAGACAACGAGCUAAAAAAAUGCAUGCCGCAAUUUAAACGUUUUUCACAACAAGCAAAUGUAAAAUAAGACUGAAAUGAGAGCGAAUGUUCAAGAUAUACCUAUAAAUUACUAGACAUUGCUAGAGGCCUAGAGUCUAGACACUGGAUAAUGUAAAAAUAUACCGUUUUGGUUAAUUUUUUUCUUCCCCUUGCUAUUUUUCAACCAUGGUUAGGAUGGCGGCGGGGCGCUGGCACUCAGCAAGACGGCAAGGACGGCGGCGGAGCGGCGCCAAUGUGCGGAGGCGGGCUGGAGCCUGGAGCCGGACUUGCAGGCAAACUGGCAAAGGCGCGGACACUCCUGGCUCCUGGCAGUGCAGCUCCUGCCGCAGCCACAGCCACCACAGCCACAGCUCCCAAAUUCCCAAAUCCUAGAUCUCUGUGACCGGACUCUCUUAGGCUCUUAGCAGUGCCAUGAAAAGUAAAAACCAAAGAGGAAACCAACUAACCAAGUCACCAAGAAACAGAAGGCAGAGGCGGGCGGCGGCGGCCGGGCGGCGGGCGGGCGGGGGUGGGGCUGCGGGCGGCGGGCGGGCGGGGCGGGGGCGCGGGGCUGCGGGCGGCGGGUGGGCGGGGGUGGGGCUGCGGGCGGCGGGCGGGCGGGGGCGGGGGCGCGGGGCUGCGGGCGGCGGCGUGCGGGCGGCCGGGGGCGGGGGCGCGGGGCGGCGGGCGGCGGCGUGAUGGCGACGGCGCGCGGGGCUGCGGGCGGCGGCGCGCGGCGUGCGGGCGGGCGGCGCGCGGGAGCCUGGAGCAGAGCGGGCGGCGUGCGGAUAGGGUUAGAUUUUUUUAGUUGGGCUGGGCCGAGCCGAGGUAUUGCCCGAGCAAUACCGGGCAAUACCGGGCCCUCUGCCACUGGUUUGGAGGCCCAAUAAACUAACAAUGACGCAGGCCCACCGCAUUCUCGGUCUGGGGGUUAGGUUACGUAGGACUUGGACUAGCGGACCAGCCGGGCCCGCCCGGGUUCUCCUUUUCUUCUUCCGCGUUCUUGCCGUGUGGCACGGUGCGACGGCUGUGACUGGGAGGAAAGUAGAAACCCCCAAACCCUCCUCCCCUUCUCCGCGCACCACCUGCCGCCGGAAACCCUAGAUCUCCCCCGACCCAUGGAUCCGCAGCAGCCGGUGUAGCUUUGCUUCGUUCUCGGACUUCGGUCACGCCGACCUUGCGACGGCUGAGCUCGCUAGCAAGCAGGGGUCUCUAGGAUUGGAUUAUUUGAUUCCUUUCUGGAGCUGCGGCUUCGGUUUUUGUAUCCCCCAAUCCUGUGAUCCGCUGCUAAAUCGAGGGUUUAAUCUGGGAUUGGUCCUGAGAUUUGGCGUUUUUGUUACUCCCGGCCUGUUCUGCUUUCCCAUGACUAGUGUUUAGUUUUAACUUUUUCGUCUCCGCUAUCUUCCUCAAUCCUUUUCUUUUAUGCGAAAUAAGGAGAAACUGGAUUUCACUUUCGUUUUAUUUGAUUUGGAAACCAUGUAACUUGGAUCUCUUCUAGUCUAUAUGCAGGGUGUUACAUGAUACUUUAAUUCCCACCCUUGACACUUGUAUAUUCUGUAAGAUGAGAUGCAUUUGUUUUUUUCCUAUGUGUACAACUCUACCUUCACUUGUAUCCUGAAACAGGCGUUUAACACUCCUUUGGAUAUCACUUUGUUUGCCACAUUCUUCACUGUUUAAGUUUAUGUUCUUCAAAAUCCAAAUGACAUCGCUAGCAUACUUUAUCUGUUCUUGACCCCACUAGUAGGGCUUCUGAUAUACAACUUAUGUUCUUCAAAAUCCAAAUGACAUCGCUAGCAUACUGUAUCUGUUCUUGACCCCACUAGUAGGGCUUCUGAUAUGCAACUUAGUACGGUAAACAUUUUGCAGUCCGCAGUGCUACACUUAGGUUACUCAAUGAGGUUUUGUAGGAUAUUGUGCUACUAAGUUCUGAACAUUACUUGUACCUUUGCACUAACUGAAAAUUGUGGUGAUUUUGAUUUUCUUGUGUCCACAGUUAGAACACAGCAUUUCAUUUAUCUUAUUAUCUAUGAGUUUUCUGGUUCAGUCAUUACAGAAAGGGACUGAAGUUGUCAUGUAGCUAGCAACCUAGUACUUUGUAUAGCCUUGUGCACUUAAAAAAGACAAAUUAUGUGCCCAUUCAAAAGUGAUGAUUGAUUUAGUUAUUGUUACAGUUGGUUAACUUAAUUGUAUCCAAAAGUCUUGUCAUUAACAGUUAAAAUAUAGCCAGGUGUGAGCCCUUAUAAACAUAUACAUGGGAAGCCUUUGAUAUAUCCUAUAUGUUUCUCACAUAAUAGCAAAGUUCAUCCCAAAUCUUAUAUUAUUUGAAAUGAGCCCAUAGCUGCAGCUUGCCUUCGAAACAUAUCUAUGGGGAUAUGAUGAGGUUAAACUGCGAUAACUGAACUUAAUGGUUUAGAAGGAGAUUACCUGUAAUAGGGGGGAGGUUGUCGCCUGUCUUUUAGUUAAAGCCAUAGAUAGUUAAGGGUUUAGUGUGGACAUAGGGUUAUCUACAUAAAGAUUGGUUGUGGUGGCAUGCCACAAAAUGUUGGGACGGCAGUACUGCACGUAUCAUGUAGGAGCAUUGCUGAUUUUACUCCUGAAAUGCAGUGAAAUGUCCUUCAUUGUCAAGGAUUAAAACAGGCACCUGAUCUUUUAGACACUUUUAGUAUGUAAUACUUACUGCUUAGGAAAACGACAAUUUUCAUACAUUGACCUUUAUUGUUUGACAAACAUAGUGCAACGUAUAGGAACAGCUUAGUCUGAAAAUGGUAGUUGAAUUAGGAUUGCGAAAUUUGAUAUAUGGUUGAUAACCUGAAUUUGAUAUGCAUUCUUCACUUUAUCUUUGCCCCCAUGUGCAAUUUCUCACUAAAUGUUUUGUUUCUUGUACAGUUGUCCAAUAUGAAGCGCGCUGAAGACAAAAGGAGAAACAGAAUGCUGUUAGUCGUCCCUCUACCUAUGUAAUGAGCUUCCUGAGGGAAAUGGAAAUGUAAGACGCAAUGUUUGAAUGCUGUGUGCGUCCAUUGGACUCGAGAGAUAUUACAGUACUAUGAUUGGUGACGGGUCUUGUUGACUCUUGAGUGGUGCAGAUCUAAUGCAUGCAUUAUACCUGAAUUGUUCACGGGCCUUUUCCAUUUUUGCCUCCGAUGCUCCAUCUACUUUUAUAAGAUACAUCCGCACAUGCAUAUCAAGAUUCAAACUUUGCAAUCUUUGACCAUUAAUUCUACUAUUAAUUUUUUAUUUUUAUAAUGUAAACUUUAUGUGAUUGGAUUCGUAAUCAAAUAUACUUUACCAUGCAUAUAAGUUUAUAACCAUAAAUGAUAUAGUAUAUGAUAAAUGAAUGGUCAUAGUGUUAUUUAGAUGACCGUGCCAUGUUAUACUAUGCCUUGUAAAAAUGGAAGGACGGAGUAUAACUGAUGGAAACUUUGUGUAAGUUAGGUCGUAUGAUUUGUAGCGUUCCCUUGUAUUUUCGCAAGGAGAGACGCAGACAAGCGUUGCCAGCGGUAUGGGGUUGGCUGUGGCGGCACCUUUGGCUUGUCCCUACGCCGACGCCCAAGCCGUGGUUACUGAUACCGGUUUCCACCGCCGCCUGAAACGGCAAGAUUGAAGGUGGAGGGAAAUGGUGUUGAAAAAUGAGAAUUACUUUUUCCUCUGCCAAGGGCAUUGCAGUGCCCAUUGAUGGAGCAAGUAGGACACUGCCUGCCAUUCGAGUCUUGGCGAGGGUAGGGACCGGCGCACCCGACCCAACAGUCCAAUUUUAAAUAGUCUGUAAAAUAUAAAUUCCAAUAAAAAUUAAUAAAAAUUAAGUAGAUGGGCAUCUCCCGUCCGUUGGUCGGACGGGAUGCCUCCCGCCCACUGGCCGGGCGCGAUGCCUCAAGGACCUCUUCGCGAAUAAAAAGUUUUCCUUAUUCGCAAAGAGGUUCUCGGGAGGGGCCUGCAAAUUUUUUUGGAACCUCCCGUCCGCUGGAUGGGCGGGAGGACGCAUCCUGGGCGGGAGGUACCUAUUUUUCGAAUUUUAUUUUUUUAUUCCUUUUUUAAAAAAUUUAGUCCACGGCCCAACAGUCCGCGGCCCAGAUGGUGCGCGCGACAAGCUGUCGGCCCGCGUGUCAUGGUUUUCUUUUUUUUUUGUGUAUCUGAGCGAUUGCCGCGCGUCACGGCUUGUCUCGCCGCACAGGCUACGCAGACAUGAUGAUGCGCGCGCACGGGUCCGUGGUCGCGCGUAGUACGUCUGGCGGGCGACGCAGGCACGGCAAGAGAGAACACGUACCCGAAACCGAAAGCGUCUCAGCGCCGCGGCCCGCGCCACGCGGCGGACAAAAAGGCAGCGGCUCCAUCUCGCGCUGCCGCUGUAGCCCUGCGUGCGUCGCAUCCAUCGCGCGUGCGUUACGUGCUCGCCUGGCCACGCAGGGGCUGCUGGUCUGCAGGUCUGGCGAGGCAACGCGCGGCGCGGAUGGCGCCCCCGACGGCCCUCCUCCUGCAGGCCGCGGCCGCCGGCUGCCCCACCGACGCGCGCUCCUCGCCAACGGGCUCGGCCUGACGCCGCAGAUGGGGUGACUGGACUACCGACGAAUCAUCAUCUUUUCCAGCGUUCAGAAUCGCGCGCGGAGGCUUCCGCCCGAUGCUCUCUCUCGGGUGUUUGUGAUCCGAGCUUGGGUGCUGCUUUUCUUCUCCGACUGAUCCCUCGUUCCCGCGGUCCCAGGUGGAGCAGAGCAGCUGGAACCACUUCCAGUGCGACAUCAACGAGACGGUCGUCCGGAGCACCGGUCAGUCAGAGACCACUCUCAACCCAUAUCGUAUCUGAAUCUAUGGAUGCUGUUGCUGACUGACUGCACGUACGCUGUUGAUUCCGACGACGAACAGCGGACGCGCUCGUCGCCACCGGCCUCGCCAGGGCAGGGUACACGUACGUCAACCUAGGUGCGGUCUCUUUGCCUGGCUCUAAUUCAGAGUUCAUACGUGUUAAUUUGUUAUCCGAGUUACUGACAGAUGACACCGCCGUACCUGCCUGCCUGUUCAUGGCAGAUGACUGCUGGGCAGAUUACCAAAGGACCAAAAAGGUAUAUCACCAGUAGUGCUAGCUAUUUCAGCUCAUCGUCAGUUACUGUACCUUUGCUGUUGGUUCCUGCACUGAGCAUUGUUCCAGCACGAUCGGUCUAGCUGCAAACUAGAACAGAUUAUCUUUGCUAGUAAUUGACUUGCUGACAGGGGUACCUGGUCGCUAAUCCCAAGACGUUCCCAUCUGGGAUCAAGGCCCUGGCGGAUUAUGUCCACGGCAAGGGGCUUAAGCUUGGCCUCUACUCUUCAGCUGGGUACGUUUUUCUUUUCUUUGUUUUUUCCCGGUUACAAGACGUAUACAACACAGUUGAUUUGUUCAGACUGAAAAAACUUCUGACAAUCCAAAAGUACACGAAGAGUUGAUAUAUGGGAUAUGACUCGAAAAUCCGAUCUUCAGGACAAGAACCUGCAGCGACAAGAACCAUAAGUAGUUUUUACUUAUGGUAGCUCUAUGUUAGUUCGGAAUUAAUUAGUGGGUAGUAGGAUUUUUUUAGGCUGUGAUGGGGAGGGGGCACAUUCUCUAUGCAGUAUUUUUUGUCUUUUACAAACCUGUAGCAUAACAAGCACUUCAUCGUUAAGCAACAAUCUAUUGUACGCUGUCAGUGAUCAGUUUACGGUUGCAAAAUUCAUUUAUAAUUGCGCAAGUACAAACAAUAUAAUUGCUUGUUUACAUAAGUACAGCAUAUAUGAGUUCCUCUUUUUCUUCACCUUUUUUAGUUGUAUGAAUCUGUUUGUAAAUAAAACAGAGUUAUAUAAGCACACCAUUCAUGCUUCUUUAAGCACUCGAUGGAUGCGCUUUUAACCCAUCUUGGCUCCCACUCAGUACUAAAAUCUCCCUAGGCAAUAACAUGGUUUCAUAUUGGCAAAUUUCUAUACUUUAAUAGGCAAAAUAUAAGGUAUCAUUAGGCAAUAACAUGGUUUCAUAUGAGUUGUAGAACUCCCUUGCUUCUUGCUUAGUACCAAACAUUUGCCCAGUGUAGGUGUUGACCAAAUCUCCUCCACAAUUGCUACAUCUGGUGGGUUAUCAGCAUUUUGUAUGCACAUCUGGGGUGAUUUCAGCUAAAUUGUUGCCAACAACAGCUAAAUUGUUGCCAACUGCAGCUAUAUUGUUACCCAAAACAGUUGAGUCUUGAAGUUUUGGAUCAUACUCCUUGUCAUUUACUCCUCUCUCCCAAGGACUGGUUGAGUGCAAUAGGGAGGAUUGGUAUCUGAAUCAUCUAGAAAUUCAUAAUCAAAUUCGGGUGGAAGCUUGUUUAAAUCCAUUUUAAUUUCCCUACACAUACCAUUUCCAGCAAGUCACAAAACUGAUUAGACAGCAGGAGCACCAAAGCAUUUUUACAUGCAUCAAAAGGCAACUAAAUAUGCAUCAUCAGGCAAUAAUGUAUUGUGAAAACAUGUAGUUCAGUCAUUUUUCCCAGGCAAAUCUUUGUAUUUCUUUUUUCAAUUUUCUAAUUUUGUUCCUGAUUUUCAAUCUUACAGGUACGCAUCUACAACAGUGGAAAUUUUUUGGGAGGGGGGAGCAAUGAGGUGGAUCCAGCACAUUUGUCUUGUCCGGAAGUUCAGUUUUUGCACUUCUAGCAACUUUGUAACACAAGAUCUGCAUUUUUGCAUCAGGGGAUGUCUUUUUUCCUGUGGAUCUCUUUUUGUUGCUGGAACCCUAAAAACAUGUAUCUGUAGAUGAUGGGCACAUAUAAAAAUCUCUUGUGUCUGUUUUGCUUUUGUGUGCGGCAAGAGGCAGUGGCAGUGCUGGAGUUCCAGUUCCUUUUGCUGGGCAAUUUAGGGUGCGUUUGGUUCAGCUGUGAGCUGUGAAAAAGCUAUUAUCAGAUGCCUGCUGUGAAAAAGUUAUAUGUUGUCUUUAUGCAAAUUGACAGUAUACAAUAUUUCUUUGUGAUGACCAAUUUUUUCCCUUUAAAUCUUUAUUUUUAUACAUAUAAAAAUAUUUGGAGUUAACUUUUUUUAUUUUUUUAUUUUUAUUUUCCUAUACAUGAAAAUCUUUAUUUUCUUAUAUAUAAAAAAGAAUUGAAAGGGUAUAUAUGUGACCAAUAGUAAAAGCUGCAAAAGUAGGGUACAACCUGCUUUCAAAUUUGUACUACAGAAAAACAGCUUUUUCAAAGCAGCUGCACAAAAGCUGAACUUGUAAGAAGGUUCAGAAAGCUGAACCAAACACAACCUUAGCAGGAGGGGAAGGGAGAAGGUGUUUGCGGGGACCACGGGUUUUUGCUUAUUCAGCGCGCGACCAGCGCUGCUUGUCGGUGUUUAACCGGCUGCCCACCGAGGGAUAUGCCCAAGGUGGUAAGUUUUGGGUGAGGAGACGCCGAGAUCAGGAACUCGAAGGUGCAAGGAACACAAGACUUAGACAGGUUCGGGCCGCACAGAGCGUAACACUCUACGUCCUGUUUGGUUUGUAUUGACUUUGGUGUGGAACGAUCUAAUGAUCUUCUGUUUUGAGGGGGUCCCUGACCUCCCUUAUAUAUCCGAGAGGUCAGAGUUACAAAGAUGCUAACCAACCCCCGUCAAGGGAUCAUACCAGAACACAUCUCGAGUAGAUCCUCUCCGUGUUGGUUAACUCUAUCUCCUAUUUAAACGGGAUAAACAAGAGAUAAACCAAAUGAGUAAGAGAUAAGACGGGCUUAAUCUGUUAAACUACGUAAUGUGCCCAACCCGAUGGCCCCGGGUCUGACAAGCCCCCGAGCUCUUCGUAGCUGAGUACUGCAGGCUUAUCGAGUACUUUCGAAGCAGUCUUCGACUUCUUCUGAAGCUUCGUCUUGAAGUCAUUCUUCGAGUACUUGUUUGGCUGUAUCGAAGCUAUGAGGUGCUCAUGCCCUGAAUUUCUAUUAUGGCGUGCGAUUUAAAAAUCGCACUCCAUAUGGAGUAGCCCCCGAGCCUUAGGUUGAAUCGGAGAAUCAGGCUGAGGGUCCCAUUUGUCUGUGACCCUACUUAUCCUUCAAAAGAUUUGAAAAAAUAAGUAGUCGAUGCCACGUAUCCCGCAGCCCCCGAGCCUUGAAUCCAAAUCCCACAAAAUUUGGAGAUAAGGAUCCAAUAACCGUGGCAUGCAGGCGAAUAAUGACAACUUGCAAAAUUACCAAAACGAUGGUACGGAUGAUGGGUAUUAGAUUAUUAAUUCGAAAAAACGCUUUUUUCAGGCGGACAAACCCUGAAAAAAUGAUUAAUCAAAUAUCCAAUCCAAAUAAUCCAUCAAACGACCCCUCAGAUUCGGAAUAUUCUCGGACGUGACUCCUGAACUUCAGAACAGUAACUUUUCCCCACCCCGCUGGUUAUUUAACCCCGCGAUAACGGUAGGAAAAAACCACGCUUUCAAUCUGCAUUCCAUCAAAAGCCACCGAAUUCCCCAAUCCGAGCCAAGCGCCGCCACCAUCCCCCCAAGAAGAUCCUCCCGCUCCAACCUCCCCGCCCCUCUCCCUGCAGCCCCCGAGCAUCUCGUGGCCAGCGCAUCGGAGAUGGCGUCCAAGAAGUCAGAGAUCGAGGGAAAGAAGAAAGAUGCGGAGCCAACGACCACGGAGUGGACACACAGUAAGUGCUCCCUCAACAAUCUAAACAAGCUAGUUUCCGAGGGGUUGCUUCAAGAAAAGAACCUUGUCAACUGGCGCCCCUCUUAUCGUGAACCUCUCCCCAUGGAGAAUGUCGACGAAGUUGUCACAUUCUUCCAUUUUUCCGAACGGGGAUUGGCCCUCCCCACUUGUUCCUUGUUUCGCGGCCUUCUUUAUUACUACGGGCUUGAGCUCCAUCACCUCAACCCUAAUUCCAUUUGCCAUAUUUCCAUUUUCAUCCAUUUCUGCGAAGCAUUUCUCGGAAUUGAACCCCAUUGGGAUCUAUUCCGCUUUCUCUUCCGCAUCAAGCCCCAGCCUACCACAAAGAAACUUGCCGUAGUAGGGGGCGCCGGCAUCCAACUGCGACAGCAGGCCGGCGAGAAAUACCUUUCGUACAAAUUCCCUUCAAACCUUCCUGGGUGGAAGAACCAAUGGUUUUGCAUCGAAAAUCAUACCCCCCAACUUCCGACGAAGUCGAGCAGACCGCUAGUGGUGAGGGGGGAAUGGAACCUUGAACCCUCCGGCAUGGAGAUGAUUCAAGUCCGAGAGCUGCUGGAGGCCAUCGAGGCACAGAAAAAGAAGGGAGUGACCGGCACCUCCGUUAUGUUCUCAUUUUACAAACGCCGCAUCCAACCCAUCCAGCAGCGCUGUUGCCUGGGCUUCGAGUACACAGGCCCCGCUGACCCUUCUCGCAUGUGCACAGAGGAGUUGCCAGAUAAAGUCGCACUCCAGCGAGUUCAGCGGGUGCUGCUAGACGUGGACGCCGUGCCGUACGUGCCCACGUUGUUCUCCGCACGAAAUCCGCCCAAGCUGGUAAGUAUUCGACUUCUUUUCGUUGGAGAAAUCUGAUGUUGUACCGUUACUUAACUGAAAAACUUUCUGCAGGGACACACGGAGCUGUACUGUAGCUACCCGCCGUAACCUGACCUCCCCCGAGCCUAUCAUCUCCUCCCUUCUGCUGCCACUGCAGCCAAGAAGGCUCGCCUUGCUGUGUCUCAAAGUCGAAACGAGUCCGCCGAAUGCGUGGACUCGCAGGCGGGAGAAGGAGCCGAAGGAGAACCACGCUCUUCUGCUGCCGUUGCAACCAAGGGGGGCUCGCCUUGCUGCGGCUCAAGGCAGCAGCGAGUCCACCGAAUGCGUGGACUCGCAGGCGAGCGAAGGAAUCGAAGGGGAACCGCGUCGGGACAACUCCUCCGACCAGAGCGUGGAGUUGACCGGCGCUCUACCACCGGUGCCGAAGGGCCAACGACAAGUGCGCAAACGCAAGGCACAAGAAGUCGAGUCUUCCAGGUACUGAGUUGCUGUUUGGGCUAGUUGCGAAAUGUCAACGAUGCGGCAUACUGAUAGCUUCCACUUAUAGUCUCCCCGCUCUACCACCCGAGACUGAGCCCGAAAGAGUGGAAACAGGCCCCUCUGCCGUCGCUGCGGUGACCAUUGCUGUGGUGGGGAUCCCCCAGUCGGCCGACCAAGCCUCGCCGCCAGCAACAGGCACUCCUCGACGGGCCUGGCGGGUGAAGAAGGCCGCCAAAAAGAAGUCGACACUGUGAGUUUCCCUCCUGCCGCUUGAAAAUCUUGCUCUUGCCCACUUGGAUAACAAUGUCUUCGAUAUCAUCAGGGCUGCGAGCGCGGUGCAACUCCAGAUGGACCCAGGCGCGGCUACUACGGCCCCGGAGCCAGCAACCCGGGCUAACCCCGCCGGUGCGGAGCCGGCCCCGGCCGCCGCUGCCUCCGAGCCAUCGGCGCCUGGAGAACCAGUGCCUACGGAGCUGGCCCCUGAGGCAGAUGCGACGCUCCCCGACUUGCCGCCUCCCGAGCUCCGACAAGACGAAGCCGAAGCUGGUGGCGGAGAACAAGUCGAGGCCCCUGGAGCCGCUCCUACUGAUGGCACAGGUAAGCGCUUAUCCGCCCGCGGCUAGCUACCGAGAGCUGGGCGCAAUGUGUUGACUGCAUUGCAUACUUGCAGGUGUCCAGCAGCCGGCGUCCAGGGAUACCGCCGGGUCCUUGGGGACUCCCCGUGAGAUGCUGAGGGCCGGGCCGGGGUACCAGAACGUCAUCACCACCGACCUGGUGGACGACCUCCUGCUGACGGCCGAAAAUCUGAAGACCUUCAAGAGCACCUUCAAGGAGUUAUACGACUUCUCCAUGGUAGUAUUUGGGUAAUGUUCCAGAUGUGCACAUUGGUGAAUUGUUUAUGGCUCAAUCUCCGCCUUUUGCGCAGCAUGUAAUCACCAAAUCCCAGAGGAAGUCGGAGAAACUCCGCGCGGUUGUGAGUGACGCGCGAGAGUUAGCUGCCCUGGACAAGCGCGUCUCCGAGGAGAUUACGAAGAAUUGCUAUCUGCAGCAAGAGCUGGACAUACUGAAUCAAGAAAGAACUCGAGAGACCUGGCUGCUCAAGAAUGACCUGAAGAACCUCGAGAAGGCCAACUCCGAGCUCCAACAACAACUCAAGGAGCAACAAGCAGAGUACCAGGAGCAGCUCAAGGCUGAGAAGAAAGCGCACCAAGGUAGGCCCUCGCUUCUCUCGAGUACUUUUCCUUGGCAGCUCCCCUUAGAUGCUGAAGUACCCUUACCACAGAGCUUAGGAAAAUAACGAAACACAAAGAGGAGCUGCUUACUGACGUGAAGAAUAUGCUGUAUCGUCGUACAGAUGAUGUCGAACGGCUGCAGAAGGUGAUCGGCGAUACUGAACGUCAGUUCGUCGACUGCCUUCAGCAAGUCAAGGCGCUGGGCGAGAAGGACGAGCAGCUGCACAAGGAGCUGGAGGACCUCCGGGGGGCCGCCCAGGAGCUGGUGGACAUGGUGGAUCCCCCAGAAGAAGGCGAGGCAGGCCCGCGGCCCCUGCUGGAGCGACUCCGUGAAGCCCCGAAGAAAAUGCUCAAGUUCCUAUCUGAAGCUCCAAUCGCGUGCGUGAGCAACGCCCUCGCCUAUGUAAAGUCCUUCAUGCCAAACGCGCAGCUGGGCAUUUUUGCACAAGGGAUGGCGGCGGAUUGCACGGAUGAGCGAUUCGAAGAGUACUUGCAGGAAGCCCAACCUGUAGCAGAACAAAUUGUACACAACGUACUGCAGGAUUAGGGUACGAGAAACAAAUAAUCAUUCUCUUAUGUAAAUACUUCACUUGAUAUCUAUACUUGUUUGCGUUCCUUAGCUGAAUUGGGAUCCGGGCUUACAAGCGCAAGUAGUAGAUGCUUCCCUGGGUGCAACGACCCGAAGGGUGGCUAGGACUUGUCUAACAGAUUAGCCACAACUCGAUAGAGCGGGUUUAGACUUGUUAGGAAAGAACGCGAGCGUCGUCGCGGGGUUGCCGUGCAUAGGGCAAAAGAGGGACUACCCCUAGUGCGGCGAUUCGGAGUGUAGUCGAAGAGCGCUCCUUCUGUGAGCGUGCCCCGUAAGCUAGGUAGGACCCGGACGGAUCAAGCUUGCUAGGAGCAGGUGCGGGCGGCGCCGCGGGUUUGCCAUUCUUUGGGCAGAAACGAGACUAUUCUGAGUGCAGCCACUCAGGAUGUAGUCGAGAGAGCUCGUUAUGCGAGCCUUUCCAGCGUGCUGCUGUGAAGCUAGUCGAGCGGAUCGACUGCGUUGGAAAAAAAUGUGACUGCUGUCGCUGGCGACCAUCCGAGGUUGCGGCGGAACUCAAUGUGCAGAGGAGUUAGCCGGAGCCGAGGGUUCCGUCAGGAACGGGAGUCGAAGGGAGAUGAUCGUGGCCAUAGCCCCCGCAUCAUUCACGACAAGAAGUCGAUUUAUGUACAUAUGUGUUUGCACGUGACCCUGGCCAUCGUGUAAGUAAAAAGGCAGGUACAAAACGAGUCGUGUGUCUCAUAGCCUCCAAGUUGACACGGGGAGAAAAGACCUUCUGAGCCCUCGGGGAUUUAGCGAUCACCGGGCCUCGUCUUAAGGGUAGAAUUUGCGCAGGUUCUGAAUGUUCUAGGAGUUCGGGACAUCCUGACCUUCCGGAUAUUGUAGUCGAUAAGAACCGGGCGUUGUAACCUGCUUGACGACGAACGGGCCUUCCCACCUUGAAUUGAGCUUGUGUAGGCCAGACUCGUCCUGGAUAUGAUGCAAAACCAAAUCACCAACACUGAAUGACCGCUCCCUGACAUUGCGAUCAUGAUAUCGCCGAAUCCCCUGCAGGUACCGAGCUGACUGAACAAGAGCGGUGCAGCGAGCUUCGUCCACAGAAUCGAGCUCUAACUGCCGCGCCUCGUCCACCUCGCCUUCAUUGUACAUUUCGACCCUUGGAGACUUCCACAUGAUAUCGGCUGGUAGAAUAGCUUCAGAUCCAUAUACGAGGAAGAAAGGUGUUUGUCCUGUGGCUUUGGACGGCUGAGUCCGAAGCCCCCAGACGACAUGUGGCAGCUCAUGCACCCAUUUGCCUCCCUUCUUGCUAUUUGCAUCAUAAAGUCUCUUCUUGAGGCCGUCAAUGAUCAAACCGUUCGCCCUUUCGACUUGUCCGUUGGCCCUUGGGUGUGCAACCGAGACAUAUUUAACUUCGAUACAAGCAUUCUCGCAGAACUCCCAGAACUGGUUCGCCGUGAAGUUGAACCCCAGGUCCGUGAUGAUGGAGUUGGGGAAGCCGAAACGAUGCAGAAUAUCUAAGAUGAAGUCGACGACCCGAUCCGGCGUGAGCUUGGCUAUCGGCUUGUACUCGAUCCAUUUAGUAAACUUGUCGAUAGCCACAAGAACAUGGGUAAAACCGCCUGGCGCCGUCGUGAAGGGCCCGAUCAUGUCAAGACUCCAACAAGCAAAAGGCCAGGAUGGCGGUAUGGUGAUAAGGCUGUGAGCUGGAACAUACGUCAGUUUGCCGAAGAAUUGACAAUUUUGGCACCUGCGCACGAGAUCCUCCGCGUCGGUUACUGCGGUGGGCCACCAGAAACCAGCUCUGUACGCUUUUCCCACCAGCGUUCUCGAAGCCGCAUGGUUGCUGCAGACGCCAUCGUGGAUCUCCCGCAGUAUGUCGUAGCCAUCUUCCUUUGUGACGCACUUCAUGAGAACCCCUGACCGAGCGCCUCGCCGAUAGAGCUUGCCGUCGGCCAGGACGAAACCCUUGCUUCUGCGUAAGAUGCGAGCUGCGUCUGCGCUCCUAGCGUCAAUUCCCACUGGUAAUCGUUGAUCUCGAAUGAAGUCUAUAAAAGCCUCUCGCCAGUCCUCUUCCAGCACCAUAACCUCUCGAUCGGGUUGUUGGGGACCCACGUCGAUGGUUACCUGCGGAGAAGACUUGAUGGAUGGCUGCUUGAGCUCCUGAACGAAGACUCCCGGCGGGACCUGAGCGCGCGUGGACCACAUUUUGGACAGGAUAUCUGCGCCGACGUUGUGCUCCUGCAAUACAUGAUGAACCUCCAGGCCGGAGAAGUUGCUCUCCAAUUUGCGUACUUCCUAGACAUAGGCAUCCAUUGUCUCCUUGUUGCAGUCCCAUUCCUUGUUGAUCUGUUGAACGACAAGAAGAGAAUCGCCAUAUAUAAGUAGUCGCUUGAUCCCUAGUGAUAUCGCCAAACGAAGCCCGUGAAGCAAAGCUUCAUACUCGGCUUCAUUGUUGGAUACCGCCCACAGGAUCUGAAGGACGUAUUUCAACUGCUCAUCUCGUGGAGAAAUAAGCAGAACCCCAGCGCCACCACCGUCGAGCUUGAGAGACCCAUCGAAAUACAUGGUCAAAUGCUCUGGCUUGUCCACUGGGGUUGGUACUUGAUUCUCCCUCCAUUCAGCCAUGAAGUCGACUAGAGCCUGCGACUUGAUUGCAGUGCGUGGCUUGAAGUCGAUUGACAAAGCCCCCAGUUCCACUGCCCACUUGGAUAUGCGACCCGUGACAUCUUGAUUAUGAAGAAUAUCCGCCAGCGGGAAGUCCGUGAUCACAGUGAUCUUGUACUCGUCAAAGUAAUGGCGUAGCUUUCUUGAUGUGAUUAAGAUUGCAUACAAGAGUUUUUGAACAGCUGGAUACCGUACCUUGGAUUCGGAAAGGACUUCGCUGACGAAGUAGACAAGCCUCUGCACUCCAAACGCAUGGCCUUCUUCGCCUCGCUCGACUAUAAUAGCACUGCUGACAACAUGAGUUGUUGCCGCGAUGUAAAGUAGCAGAUCCUCCCCAGGCAACGGUGCUGUAAGGAUUGGAGGUGAUUGCAGAUAAUGUUUCAGAUCCUGCAAGGCCCGCUCAGCCUCCUCCGUCCAUUGGAACUUAUCCUGGCGUUUCAAGAGCUUGAAGAAGGGCAGUCCUCUCUCCCCGAGUCGGGAGAUGAAUCUGUUCAGAGCCGCCAUACAACCUGUUAACUUGUGCACAUCCUUGAUUGUAGCCGGGGCCUCCAUAUCAGUGAUGGCCGUGAUCUUGACAGGGUUGGCUUCAAUGCUCCGAUUGCUGACGAUGAACCCGAGCAAUUUUCCUGAAGGGACUCCAAAGACGCACUUGGUGGGAUUGAUUUUCCACCGAAAUCUGCGCAGACUGCUGAAUGUUUCCUCCAAAUCUGCGAUCAAAUUAUCAGAAUCCCUGGUCUUGACAACCACGUCAUCCACAUAGGCCUCAACAUUCCGGUGCAGCUGAUCCGCGAAACACAUCUGGAUCGUCCGCUGGUAUGUUGCUCCUGCGUUCUUCAACCCGAAGGGCAUUGUUUUCUAGGCAUAAGUCCCAUACGGGGUGAUGAAUGCAGUCUUGAUUUGGUCCUCCUCCUUGAGCGCGAUCUGAUGAUAUCCUGAGUAACAAUCAAGAAAACAAAGAAGGACACAACCAGCCGUCGAAUCGACAAGUUGGUCAAUGUGCGGCAGCCCAAAAUGAUCUUUUGGGCAAUGCUUGUUGAGAUCAGUGUAGUCAACACACAUUCUCCAUUCAUUAUUCUUUUUCUUUACAAGAACGGGAUUCGCUACCCACUCUGGAUGGAUUACUUCUUUAAUGAAUCCAGCCGCAAAAAGUUUAGCGAUCUCCCAUUUAAUGGCCUCACGCUUGUCAUGGGCAAACCUCCGCAGGCGUUGCUUCUUAGGCGUAGCCUUCGGGUGUACAUUCAAAGCAUGCUCGAUCAACUUCUUGGGCACCCCUAGCAUAUCCGCUGGUUUCCAUGCGAAUAUGUCUCGGUUAGCCCGAAGAAAGCUGACGAGCGCAAGUUCCUAUUUGUCACCCAAGCCCGCACCAAUAACAGCGGUCUUAGAUGAAUCUCCCUCCUAAUGCUGGAUCGUCUUGAGGGCCACAUCAUCAGUCGACUGGAUGCUCGACUAGUUGGCCUUCUUGGAAGGAAUCUCCAGCCCGGUCUGGGAGAGCUGCUGCGCGGCCACGAGUACCUCUCCUGAAGCAUCUGGCACGCGAGUAGUCGAAGCGUAUUGGAUCACCUCCUGAUUGCAGUCGUAGGACUUCUUCAAGUCGCCGCGGAGGGUGAGCACUCCACCGAGUCCUGGCAUCUUAAAAAGCAGGUAGACAUAAUGUGGCACUGCCAUGAACUUGGCAAGUGCCGGACGACCCAGUAUUGCAUGAUAAGAAGAGUCAAAAGUAGCCACUUCGAACUUGAUGAAUUCAGUACGAUAAUUCUUCCGCGUGCCGAAGGUGACUGGGAGGACCACCGUACCAAGCGGGUGCGCCGCAUUACCUGGGACGAUGCCGUAAAAGGGGGAUUUGUUGGGAACCAGCAUAUCCUUGAAAUCCAGGUCUAUUUUCUUCAAGGUGCUGACGAAGAUGAGAUUGAGCCCGCUCCCGCCAUCAAUGAGGACCUUGAUAAGAUUGACCUCCGCCACCACAGGAUCCAGGACCAAGGGGAACUUGCCGGGCUCGGAAAAGCUUGUCCACUGGUCAUCACGAGAGAACGAGAUGGGGACCUCCGACCAACGGAGUGGUCGUGGUACCGCCUGCUCGAUGGACAAAAUCUCCCGGAGGAGCAGCUUCUGAUCCCGCGUGGAACAGAAAUCCUCGUCUCCCCCAAAGAUGACGUUGACCACCUUUGACGCGUCCUGAAACUUCGGGUUGCGCCUAUGAUCCUCCUGAUCAUCAUCCUCGGGUUCUUUGUCAGCAGGCUUCUUGUUCUUCUUUCCGCCACCGGAGUUGAUGAAAGUCCUCCGAAGGUGGUAGCAGUCGAUGGCAGCGUGGUUGGCGCCCGGAUGCCAUGGGCACUUCUUCUGCAGGAGCUUUUCGAACUCCUCCUACGUCAUCGACUUCUUGCCCCGCAAAGGAUGAUCGAUAGUCGCGAUGACAUCAUGUGGCUUUCGCUUCGGGGUGGCCCCGAAAAGUCCCGCUGGCCCUUGUCACUGCGGUUGUCGUUUGGGCGCCGCAGAGUGCUGUCUUGAUGCCGCGGGAACCGCUCCCGCAUCUUCUUCUCCUGCUCGGACCAAUCGUGCAUCAUAUCACGAAGGCCCGCAACAGUUUUCGGCCUGUUCCGCCCGAAGUCCCUGUAUGUGCCCGGGUCGGUGAUGCCGUUGUAGAAGCAAUCGAUGAUGUCCUCCUCCGAAAUGUUCACAAUAGUGGCGCGAACAUCGAAAAAACGACGCGUGUAGGACCGCAGGAGCUCGUUACGUUCUUGCUUGCAUUGGGCAAGAUCGUGUCGAGUACCUGCACGGGCGAUCGCUCCCUGGAAGUUGUCGAUGAAAACUUUCUUAAGUCGUUCCCAGGAGUCGAUGGAGUUGCUGCCAAGGCUUUCCAGCCAGGUGAGCGGUGCAGGGUCCAAAGCCAUCGGGAAGUAGACGACUUUGGUGACGUUUGAACCCCCUGCAACCUCAAUGGCCGUGGAGUAGCAACGGAGCCACUGCUGAGGAGCUUGCUUGCCGUCGUAUUUGGUGAUGCCGAUCGGCUUGAAGCCCUCUAGGUACUUGUAGCUGCUGAAACGAGCAGAAAAAGCAGGAAACCGGUCGCUACAGUCAGUACAUUCAGUUUCGACUUCUUCGCGAGUCUUGCACCUGGAGGAGAUCACGGUCUGCGCAUCGCGACCCUCAUUGAUGUGCUGGCGUAAGGUCCCCCGAAGGAGGUCGAAGAUGGACAUGUCGUGGGUGACCCCUUUGCGGUGGCUGUUGCCUCCCGCCAGGGGCCUGGCUACCACGUGCGUUGUCGUUGCUGAUCUGAUGUUGAGGACGACCACCAGCCGUUCGACUGCGAGCCUGACUUCGACUCUCGUCCACGCGUUCUUCCCGGAUGGCGGACGCCGGAUUGUGUUGAUCCAGUUGGAUCCAAGCCCUCUGCGCGUAGAGGAGUGCUUGGCGUACCUCCAGGUCGUGGCUGCGCUCGAGGAUGGCCGUCACCCUGGCGAUGUUGGCCACCGGAGUCCUGAAACCCCGCUCGCUUGCGGCAGCGAACUCAGGGUCGAGCUCGCGAUGCAUAGAUCGCCUUCGCUCGUUAGCCCUCCUCCGCCGGAUUGUGCGGGCCCUGUUCCUGGCCCUCCGUGCCUCACGAUCAACGUCAUUCUCGUUACCGGCGUUGGCCGUGAUCUCAUCUUCAGAGAUCGCUUCAAAGUUGUCGAUGGGAAAGUCCCCACCGUCAUCGCCUUCUUCGGCCAUUAGCACCUGGCGGGAAGAAAGCUCAUGAGAACUUUCGUCGACUAGCUCAGUCGACCCCUCCUCCGCGGUGGCCAAUGGCCUGCCCUCUUGGAAAGGCAAUGGCUCGAGGUGAGCCACAAGUCGGCUCUCUGCCUCGAGUAGGUUGGAGAGCAUCAUCCCCCUCCAAUGCACAAUGCGCCCCUUCGGCAAGGAGGUGAUCACCAAAUCACCGGGACCAGAACAACCCGAAGCCCCCCGACACGCGGUGGCUUCAGGAUUUCCAUCCUGGAGCAGUAAGUCCAGAUCUUUUUCCAACAUGGAGAGGGAUCCGGAUUCGUCGGCCUCCUGAAGAUUAGUGGCCAAUUUGCAUGGAUCGAGUCGAGGUCGACCAUGCAGAUCUCUAGAUUGGAACAAGUCCAAACCAGGGGAAGCUGAGGCAGCACCAGAAGGAGUCGAGCUUGGAGCAGAUUUCUCCUCGACCUGUGCUGCAAAAGUAUGGAGCGGCAAGUUGUCGAGUUCAUCGACGAACUUGUCGAGGCCGCUGCGGGAGUCCGCAGCGAAGGUUUUUGGCGUCAUGUCGACGAGGAAUCGCCGAAAGUUGCCCGUACCAUCUGCGAUGCAAACCCACGAGCCAAAAACGAAUGUCGUGCCCUGAGAGGGAAUUGAUCUGACGAAGUUGAAAGAUGCCAUCGAGCUCGCCGGUGGAUCUUCGACGCGUCCCCCUACUUGGCGCGCCAGCUGUCGGUGUUUAACCGGCUGCCCACCGAGGGAUAUGCCCAAGGUGGUAAGUUUUGGGUGAGGAGACGCCGAGAUCAGGAACUCGAAGGUGCAAGGAACACAAGACUUGGACAGGUUCGGGCCACACGGAGCGUUACACCCUACGUCCUGUUUGGUUUGUAUUGCCUUUGGUGUGGAACGAUCUAAUGAUCUUCUGUUUUGAGGGGGUCCCUGACCUCCCUUAUAGAUCCGAGAGGUCAGAGUUACAAAGAUGCUAACCAACCCCCGUCAAGGGAUCAUACCAGAACACAUCUCGAGUAGAUCCUCUCCGUGUUGGUUAGCUCUAUCUCCUAUUUAAACGGGAUAAACAAGAGAUAAACCAAAUGAGUAAGAGAUAAGACGGGCUUAAUCUCUUAAACUACGUAAUGUGCCUAACCUGGUGGCCCCGGGUCUGACACUGCUUGGCGCUAAAAAUUGUGGGAAAGGGAGGGGAGGCGGGGGUUGCCAAAAUUGGAAGGCAGACCGUAUGGGAAGGUAAUAUUACGGCCGGCUGUAAGUUAGCCAGAUCCUAUACUUCAUAUAUUACAGACAACAUUUCGUAGUCGUACUCAAUCGCGACCCAUUUAUUUGUCAAUGACCAGGUGGUGCAGACUAAACAUGUCUGCUACUCUGCUUAGACAUGUUUCAGGCCAAUUAACACACCAACUUGUCAAGUUCGCCCUAAUAAUUCAACCAGUAGCUAGAAUCCCCAAAGUCAUCUUUGUCCUUGUGCAUCCGCCCCGAAUGCAUGCCCUAUAAACACUCGUUUCUGUCGUCACCACUGCUGCAUGCAACUCUCAUAGAGCACUCCAGCAACAAGCUAAGGUAAGCUGCUAGGCCAGCUGCCAAUGGCGAAACCUUCUUACACAUUACUGUUGGGCGCAAUGGUGGUGGUGCUCUCGCUUCUGUUGAGCCCCAUUGCUUGCUUCCGGAAACUCACAAAGCCAACGCCUACGCCGCCGACCAACUACAACUUCAAGCUAGCUGCAUCGUCCCAGCCAAAGUCGAUCAGCCACGAGCGGCCGCAGCCAACUACUGUUCCAAAGCCACGCAGCAACCACACCGCUAGCCCCUCGGCGCCGGCAGCGGCGGCUGGUUGUGGGGGCGCCCGGGCGACGUACUACGGCGCCCCCAACAGCGACGGGAGCGAAGGUUAGUGCGCGUGCAAUGCAGGCGAUCGAUGCCUGUGCCGACGCGCGUGACCGUGCCGGAGCUGAAAUGGGUCCACUGACUAAUGGGUAGAAACAUAUGCAUGCAUGCAGGUGGCGCGUGCGGCUACCGGACCGCCGUCGGGAAGCGGCCAUUCUCAUCGAUGAUCGCCGCCGGGAGCACGCUGCUGUACAGGGGAGGCCAGGGUUGUGGCGCCUGCUAUGAGGUACCUACGCCAGCAGAACGCCCUACUGCUGGCACACGUAUACAUUUAACAAAUGUUAAAACCGCAAUUAGUGCUAAGACAACGCGUCCGUCCAGGUCAAAUGCGCGAGCAACGCGGCCUGCUCCGGCCAGCCGGUGACCGUCGUCAUCACGGACGAUCCUCCCGCGGGCUGUUCCCCGGCGAGGCCGCCCACUUCGACAUGAGCGGCGCCGCCAUGGGCGCCAUGACGAGGCGCGGCAUGGCCGAUAGGCUCCGCGCCGGCGGCGUGCUUAGAGUCCAGUACAGGAGGGUGAUGCCGUGCAGGUACCCCCGGCGUGAGCGUCGCGUUCAGGGUGGACCAGGGCGCGAACCCGUUCUACUUCGACGUGCUGGUCGAGUUCGAGGGCGGCGACGGCGACCUCAAAGCCCAUGGCGCACAACUGGGGCGCGACGUGGCGCCUCAACAACGGCAGGAAGCUCAGGGCGCCGUUCGGGCUCCGGCUCACCUCCGGCUCCGGCAGGAUCCUCGUCGUCAACGAUGCCAUCCUGGCCACGUGGAAGGCCGGGAAACGUACCGCUCCCAGGUCAUCUAUCCCUGAGCUUUCACUUCGCUAGCAGUACAUACAUAGCGGAAAAUAUAAUGUUCGUCCGGGCUGUUGUUCUCGAGGGCAGAAGCUUGAGCUGUGAGUCUUGUGACUAAUGUUGCAAGCCGAUGCUUAGAAAAAUGUGUUUUACUUUGUACAUUAGAUCCUUUCAGAAUUCAAACAAAAACUGUUACUGAUUCCUUAUGUACUGCAGUGACUGCUGAAAUGACAACAAACCUCUAAGUUCAAUACCAACUUCCCUCAGCAUAGCUUGGAUAUGAUUAUGAUAGUUAUAUCUGAAGUUGUGAUUUUGGAAGAGAAUCUCUUAUAGUUUUCCAGCAAACAGUAGAGCCUGUACAAAUAGAAUCACUAUGUUUCUGCCUCGAGUAUUGCUGAAAAGUAAUUGGUGGGAUGAAAAGUAGAAAGAGUUCUAUCGGAUAAUUCAGGAUCUUUGACUUGUCGGCCAAUUCCUCAAAAAAAAAUUUUCUUGGGCACCAGACCUUGAAUCAAGCGCAUGGUAACAGGAACUAAAAUGGCAAAAAUUCCCAUUUAGCUAACGAUUAGGACAACUUUUACGCAAUUCCAAGAGAAUACCGUAUGAUAAUAAGAACGCAACUAAAAUGCUUAAUACUAUUUUCUUCUAAAUGGCACACCACCAUAAAAUUGGCAAAUAGGAUCAAAAGUAAAUCUGACUUGAAGUAUUCUUCCGGGGACUACCAAAAAGAGGAUUAGAAAGUUCUUGUUUUUGUUUUGUUUUCAUGUAUCGGCAACACCAAAACCAUGGUCACAUAGCUUUUAAAAAAACAUGGUCAUUACAAAUCAAAAAAACUAAUGCCCCAUACAGGAUCAAACUGCAGACCUUCCGCUUACGAAGCCCACGCUCUACCACUGAGCCAUAGGGGCCCACAUUAUUAGUAUUUUAAUCACCUCUAUAAAUUACUUAAAAUUAUUUUCCACCACAACCCCGUACGGAUGCCUGGCGGAGCCAUGCACGAGUCGGCUGCUCACCAGUUCGGCCCCGAGGCACGCAACUCCAUCUCUAUAAGUAUUUUUUAAGAGACUAAAUCGGAAGAUUUUCGAGAUUGAAGAUGAAUACAUGCACACAAUAGCACUAUUAGAAACAAGUCUUAUAAUACCGGAUGAUCGGUGCCUUACGCAUCGCUUCCUAACCCGUACUGCGAGGCUGAGACUAAAAGUCUGGAUUUUUGUCAGUGGGUAAAACACCCGGUGCCUAAGGGUCUAUUUAGUACCGGGUGAAGAUUCCAUCCGGUACCAAAACAUUUUUAUCAAAAAAAUAUAUUAAAUCCAAGAAGAGACCCGUACACGCGCACGUGCCGGUGGCCGGGAUUCGAACCUGCAACCUCUUGCUUUGCAUGCACCUCUCUUACCAUCUCACAUGCACAACAAUUAUAAUUGAUAGGAAGAUAAUUCUAUUUGAAGUAAGUCGUGGAGGAUUGCUAAUACCGGGUGUGGGUGGAGCAUUUAGUACCGGAUGAUAGCACCACCCGCUACCAAUAUCUAGCCUUAGAUACCGCGUGGUGUUACCACUCUCUAGAUCUUUCCAUCCACCUUAAAAGUACUGGUAUGAAGAUGACCCGUACCGGAUCAUUUUCAUGCUAGUACUUUUAGGGUGGAUCUUUGGCAUGUUUUCUAAUAGUGAUGAGCAUCUCCAAAAGACUGAGCUUGCAUAUUUUUGAGAUUGACAAAAUUAUCACAGGCGUCUCCAAGAGAUUGAGCCCAUCUCGCUAUCGACGGGCACAUUACCUACCGCUAAAAGAAUAACGCCGGUUAAAUCCUAAAAUAAAUUUAGAAAAAAUAUGAGUACUCGUAACGAGGGACUCGAACCCGGAUCGGCAAGUUCCUCGACAUCGAUAUGUUUCAACGGCAUCGCAUCAUUAGAGUUGGAGCUGACCGUUUUGCAGCAUAUCGCUAGCGAGGUUCGGAGUUAUGCAAGUAUUAGGGAGCUUAUGCAACUCGUGCGUUGAUAUAAGAGCAUCUCCAAGAGACUCUUUCUUUAUAUAUUUAGAAAUAGAGAUUUUGGUUAAAAAUUACUCUCCAACUAACCUUUUUUCAAUUGGAUAUCUAAAUAUAAACCUCCUCUAUUCCGGAUUUCUCGCUAGCCAUAGAUGGAGAGCGAGAAUGGCUCUCUAGACUACGCAUAGGUAUAGAAAAUAUGUUAGAGAAUACAAAUAUAUAGAAAACAAUUUUUACUCAAAUAACUCUCUAAAUCUUAUUCAGAGAGUAGAUUUUAAAAUAACAUCUCCUGUUGCUCCGUCCCUAAAUAUUAAUAAUGGCGGAGCUUCUCUCACGCCAACGAGGCCAUGACCCGACCCACCAACCACCCCCACCUCCUAACCCCAACGCCCCACCCUACCCCAGCAGACACAAAAAAAACUCUCAGUUUAGGAGCAAGCUGAAAGGACUCUGAGUUUUUUAUCAAUCAAAAUAUACUAAGUUUGACUAAAUUUGUAGUACAUAUUGACUAAAUCAACUACAAAAAUAUACUUGACAACAGAUCUAAUUGUACUCAUUUUACAUCAUAAAUAUUAUUAUUCUUUUUUAUAAUUUGAUUAAACAUAGGAUAGUUAACUUUGCACAAACUCAGAUAGAGGAAGAACUACAAUUGUCUAUCUUACUGAAAGUAAAUCAGUUGAUUCCUUCUGAGCCAUCUUACCCAAGGCAAACAGGCUUUACAGAGCUGCCAGUUUGUAGGGCAUAAGAGCAAAUAUAUUGCUAUAUAUAUUAACGGUUUUGUAGGCUGUCUCAUGAAGAGCUGUGUAGAUUUUUUUUUCUAUGGAGAAGAGAAGGGGAGAGAGAGAAAAGCUGUUGUCUCGUAAAACAACGGGCUCAUCAACGAUUUUUUCACUCGACGAGACAACUUUACCACCGUUGUAUGCCCGGUCGUUGCUAGAGGAAGCGAUUUUUUCCCCUCGCUGGAUCUACUGUGCUGAUUCCUUCUCGCCGCGCUAAAUUCUUCUUCCUCGCGCGCGAAAUCGAUUCACCAUCUCCAUCUGCUGGCAACUCUCUCUCCGUCUCUCCGAUGAGGCGACGAACCAGGCCACGGUGCUUUGCCGGUGAAGCAUAUGGCACGGCUGCCACAAAGGGGGCACGUCCCGACGCUCGAACCCACCUCGUCGUCGAGGCCAGGGAGCUUGCCGGCGGCUGCAGCACACUAGCGGCAUCUUCGUCACCGGGCCCGAACCCAACGCGCCCCUCCUCGUCGCGGCCAGCGAGCUUGCCGGCGGCUGCAGCACCCCAGGCGGCAUCUUCGUCACCGGCAUCAAUCCAAGACCGCAUGUGUGUAUGUGUAUUCGAUGUUCUGCUACUAGAUUACAUUAAUAAUUACUAAUUAGCAAGGGUUUUCUUGAUAUACGCGACUAGCUAGCUGCUGUUCAUGAUUGCCCUCUGGUAUAGUUAUUUGCAUGAACUUUUUCAUCGAGAUGUGAUCAUUUUUUUAAUCUUUUCGUAUAGUAUACAAUAAAUAUUUUAUUUGAAUAUCUAUAUCUAUACGUAGGAUACUUCUCGUGUAUAAUUUGCCUACAACUAGUGGAGCUGAAAGUGAUAUGUACUUUAUUGCUACAACACCACGGUGACAUAAAAAUCUACAAAGUGAAAAUACGUAAAAGAUCACAACGUUGAUUUGGCUCAUGCAUAAAUUUAGGACUCAUGGAUUAUCACGAAACAACUAAACAGACAAUCUAUUAUAUGAGUUCUUUGUUAGAUCAUCUAAAGAUUACGUGGUAAUACAUGAGACCACCUAUUAGACAACACACUAAGUUAACCAUCUUUUACAACGGCACAGUACUAACGUUUGGACCAGCGUCUGUAAUUAGGUUAAUCAACAACUCUUUUAUCUAACUACCAUACCAUGUGCAAUGAACUUUUUCACCACGAAGUUCUGAUACAGUAUUUACCAACCUAUAAGCAAUUAACCAAAGUACUGUAUCUACCACCAGAGCAUGGACGAUCGAGAUCGAUCUGUGGAAUGGGAUCCAUAAGUCAUUGAUGGGGCAUCACGUAUUGUCGCGUCGAAUCGCCAUGGCUCGACUUUAAUGUGCGGCAGUGCGCAUGCUUGUGCCCACGCGCCGGCGAGCCAUGCCCAGCUCGCGCCGUGAUGACAAGGACGGCGGCACCUCCGUUCUCUUCGGCCCGGUCGAGGUCGAGUGGCGGUGUUGCCGUCCACUGAUCCCCUGGCUUACCCUCGCAGCGCGCUCUACCUUGGAGCUUACCCUCUUCAGGCGCAGGGACUGCCGGAUCCUGUCCUUCUUUCUCUCCCGCACUGACAACGACGACGACGGCAACGAUCUCCUCGUCGACCUGCUGCCCGCCGCGGCGCCCCGGCGGUGGUCACCGUCGUAGUCGUCGUCGGAGGAGGAUGAUGAGGAGGAUGAGCCUGUGCCGUCGCGGGUCGUGCUGCUGCUGGGCUGCCCCAGCUCGACGUCCCGCUCCCGCCGGCCGCGUCGGCCGCGGUGCACGCGCUUGGUGUCGCGCACCUUCUGCCAGAGGAGGCCGAGCGCGCCGCAGCAGGCCGAGCAGGGCUUCCACACCAUCUUGAAGGCGUUCUUGGCCACGCACUUGACGAUGCCCAGCUUGCACAGGACAUACCCGAACAGCAGCACUGUACGUUGUGCCAACAGAAGGUAAUACAUUAACCAGAUGUGACAAGAUCUGCACGCAUGGCAUGCUCCAUUCAUUCGACUGUGUGUGUUCUUAUACCAAUGUAGGUGACGAUGAUAACCACGAAGAGCCUGAGCAGGCUGGAGAUGCAGACGUGCUCGAUGAAGCAGGGCAGGUCCCAUGUCCCUGAGCAAACGCUCCUUUGACAUAGAGCGAGAAAAAAAGAAAGGGAAAAACUUGCUAUCAUUCAAUGGCGUGUGGAAUUCACUUUCUGGCAGAAACUAGAAGGAAGAAAGAAGAGCGGCGUAAUCCAUCCACCACUCCUGGAUGCUAAUUAAUUGCAGCAAAAAAUAAAUAAAUCGAAUGUCGUCAAGAUGAACUUACUCGCAGGAGGCGCCGAAGAGCACCUUGAACGGCGCGGACACGACGUUCCCGACAAGCGUGCCAACGCCGUUCGCCGCCGAGCUCACGACGGACCCCAUCGAUCUCCUCUGCCCUGGAAUGAAAGGGCCUGUUAAUUCGUCGGCUGAUCUUGGUGUGGCUGGGGCGAGCGAGCGCAGGAGGACAAGGACGCGGCGGUUACCUUCGCGGGAUGGAAGAUCUACCAAGUACUAGUAACUGCCUAAUCGCUCGUCUUUUUUUUUUCUUUCCUUUUGGUGGGAACUGCGUAGCUCUAACCGCUCGUGCAGGAUGCUCGCAAGAGUUCGGAUGGCAGCCCAGCGAUGUGGAGUCCACCACUCCGCUAGAGGUGCGAACUGCGAAGCCAGGAUUUAGCCAGUGACCUGAUGAAUUAGUGGAAAUUGUGGAAUUGGAUCGCUUGAUCAUACAUGGUGAUGGUAUCAUCAACACAUCUAAUGAUCUAAAUGACUAUUUGGUUCUGCCACAUUGGAUGUUUGGACACCAAUUAGAAGUCUUAAAUAUAGUCUAAGUACAAAACCAAUUGUAUAAAUGGAGGCUAAUUCGCAAGAUGAAUCCAUUAAACUUAAUUGAUUCAUGAUUUAACCAUGUUGUGCUACAGUAAAUAUGUUCUAAUGACAGAUUAAUUAGGCUGUGUCGUUGAUUAGCACAAGCUUACCCUCUAUUGAGCAUACGAACAUUCAACAUGAUCCGGAUUAAAAAUUAAUUCCGGAUCCAAACAUCUUUCUAAAUUUCUAAAUUAGUGGUUCGCCCAUGCCUGCAUCGAUGAAUGGCAAAGAUGGGAGAUUGCAACAACGAACAGUUUUGGACAGGAGACUGGGUUAGUGGGAGAUGUACCUUCGCUGUGGUCAGUGAGACGCUCCGCAAUACGCCGGUGGCGCGUGCUCAGAGCGUGAGAUUCCGAGAAUGAACUUGAGAAGAAGAAGAAACAAUUGAAGAAGCAGUUAGCCGCCACAGAUGUUGGGCCGGGGCUCUUGUUGAGCAAGCAGCAGGGAAAGUGAUGGUUUGGAGCAGUAGCGAAGGACGCGACAAAAUCAAGGUAUUGCCGAGACAACGAGCUAAAAAAAUGCAUGCCGUAAUUUAAACGUUUUUCACAACAAGCAAAUGUAAAAUGAGACUGAAAUGAGAGCGAAUGUUCAAGAUAUACCUAUAAAUUACUAGAUAUUGCUGGAGGCCUAGAGUCUAGACACUGGAUAAUGUAAAAAUAUACCGUUUUGGUUAAUUUUUUUCUUCCCCUUGCAAUUUUUCAACCAUGGUUAGGAUGGCGGCGGGGCGCUGGCACUCAGCAAGAUGGCUAGGACGGCGGCGGAGCGGCGCCAAUGUGCGGAGGCGGGCUGGAGCCUGGAGCCGGACUUGCAGGCAAACUGGCGAAGGCGCGGACGCUCCUGGCUCCUGGCAGUGCAGCUCCUGCCGCCGCCACAGCCACCACAGCCACAGCUCCCAAAUUCCCAAAUCCCAAAUCUCUGUGACCGGACUCUCUUAGGGCCUGUUCGUUUCCCACCCUCUAAACUUUAGACCCACAUAUCAAAGAGAAUCUUGCUAUUUAGAAGUAUUAAAUAAAAUCUGUUUAUAAAAUUUUUUGCACAGCUGUGUGCUAAUUCGCGAGACAAAUUUAAUGAGCCUAAUUAAUCCAUAAUUUGCUACAGUGAUGCUACAGUAAUUAUUCACUAAUCAUGGACUAAUAUACCUCAUUAGAUUCGUCUCGCGAAUUAGCACUAGGGUUCUGCAAUUAGUUUUGUAAUUAGACUUUAUUUAAUACUUCUAAAUGAUAAGAUUUUUUUUAUGUGAUCCCUCUAAACUUUUAAGUAUCCGGAAUGGAACACACCCUUAGUCUCUUAGCAGUGCCCUGAAAAGUAAAAACCAAAGAGGAAACCAACUAACCAAGUCACCAACAACUUGACAGAAGGCAGAGGCGGGCGGCGGCGGCCGGGCGGCGGGCGGGCGGGGGCGGGGGCGCGGGGCUGCGGGCGGCGGGCGGCGGCGCGCGGCGGCGCGCGGCGUGCGGGCGGGCGGCGGGCGGGAGCCUGGAGCAGAGCGGGCGGCGUGCGGAUAGGGUUAGAUCAUCUUUCGUAAUUGGUUUGUGCAAGUGUUUUCUGUUCAGUUUAUUUAUAACUUUGAUUGGUUUGCACAAUUUAUAUUUUCUAAUCGUGUAGGGAUGGACUAGCUAGCAGUUUCUUCAUCUGAUUAAUUGAUAACUGACGUGCGGUCAUUUUUUUAAAAAAAAUGUAGUAUAAAAGUCGUCGGCCUUAUUGACCUUUUCCACACUACAAAAUCUUCUUAUUUUCUCUCAUCGUAUAGUUAAUUGCCUAUACUGCAGAAAAGUUCAGUAUCAUGCAUUGCUUGUUGAAUUACUUUGAACAUGUUGCCUCUAAAAGAACGCUUCGGAGUCAGUUGUUUGCCUUUCUAAUUUUUUUUGCUAAACUAUGGUUACUUGGUUAGUUUGUCAACAUCUCCCUGACACCCUGACAUUUUAAGCUAUUUGGUGAACUGCCAGUCAUAAAAUUCAACAUGCUAUUGGUGAUAACAAAAAGAUAUGUCUACCUAGCCAAAGACUUGUUUCAAUCAACAGGCCAGACAUGGGUUUUAAGCUUUUAGUCUUUAGAUUUCAGUAAUGAUUAAGAUUUGUGGCAGCAAGAAACUUUGAGAGUCCUACAGGGGUGAACGAGGGUCUUUCCGGAUUAGUCAAUUUAUAUUUGAUAAAAAAGUAUGCAGAUUCAAGUAAUUUUUUUCUCACUUAUAGCAGAUUAAUCAAUUGUUCCUGUGAUUCCAUUAGUGGCAGGUCAUUUGUUAUUUUUCCAGCAGUUUGGCAGUACUUACUCACUCUCCUUUCAAGUAGUGGUUCCUUAUACGCCACUACCUUUUCAAACUUUCUAAAUCUUUGCUUUUUUUAUUGUUCUUAAUGAAAGAACAGAGAGCUCUUGCCACAUUGAUCUGGACAAAUCAUAGGUAAAGGAAUGCAGUAAUUAAAGGUAUUUAGAUCAGACUUUUCUUUGUUAUUGUUGUCACAGGUUGGAUCAAGUCUAAGGUUGGUUGAACCUAGAUGUAACUUUUGAGGAGAAAAGGUUGACAUGAUGUGGCAAAAUCAUCCAUAUUUCUUCACACACCUUAAACUGUUAUGAUCCUGACAUGAUGGUCUGUGCUGCCAAUUCCAGGCUUUCUAACUAACCAGUUGAUGAAUGGUGUUAAUUAAGAUUUAAGAAGUUAUUUCUACUAUUUGAGUUCCAAGGUUUCACACUGACUGCUGUAGAAUACUACUCUUGGUAUCAAUGAAAAGGUACUCAAAAUCAUGGACAAAGCAAAUCAGUACUUAUUCCAAUGCUUAUUGGUUGUUGAUUUUGUCUUUAAGACAAAUGUCUAUGUUUUUUUGGGAAUAGGAAACAUGGCUUUUGUUAGUGCGAGAAACACUCUGAGCUUUUAGACCAAAAAGAUUAUACUGAUAAUGUUGUUGACAAGCUUGACGAUAAUGAUUUGUGUACUUUAGUCUUCACUUUUUGUAUCUAACUUUUAUCUUGUGGAUCUAGGAAAGAACGAUACGCUGUUUGUGUCGGUGUGUUGGUGAUAUAUAUUUUAGGUGUAUACUACUUUCCAAGAUGCUGAAAUAUACUUAUGUUCUGAUUGAUUUGGCUAUUUUCCUUUUUCAGAAAAUUAUUGUUGCCAAAGCUCUGAAAUCUGAUGAUGUUGAGCCAAGAAGAUAUACCCUGGAUUGUUUGCCUUAGAGAUCGGUUUGGAGCUGAGGGUUCUCUUGCCAGAUGCAUUGUUAUAAAUGACAGCCACCCCCCCCCCCCCCCCCCCCCCCCCCCCCCGCAGGCGUCUAGAUGACUACUAAGCCAGGAGCAGACAGCUACUUGUUCAUAUGGUACAACUGUAUAGAUAUGUUGGUAAUUUUUUUACCUUGAAAGAAUAUGUUGUAUCUCCAGUAUGUCUGUUUGCAUUAUAUAUCGGUUCACUGAAACUUCUGAUGCACGGAGAGCUCUGCAAUGUAAAGUACUUUCAGUAGUGUACUCCUCUCAAAUUCUGAACCCCCUAUGGAGGUGUACAAGUUGAUUAAAUGGUAUUUUUCAACAGUUGGAAAUAUGUUCUGUCAAUCUAUAAAAGUUUAUAUUUUGCUGCAUCAAACUAGUACCUUCCACUAGAUGACUGCAUUCUGCACCUAUUUUCACCUGUUUUUGAAAUAUGCAGUGCCUACUCAAGUGACUUGCUGCAUCUUAUAGUUUGGCUGCAUCCAUGCCUUUUAGCAAUGGGAGACACAAAGUAGUAGUCCACUAGUCCCAGGUCCCAGCAUCUCAAGCUCCAGUUGCACACACAUCUACAGAGAUAAAAGGAAGACCCUCAAAAGUUUGGAUCUCACGAAUGUAAUUGUUCAUACUGACUGGUCUGUCAAUCAUUACAGGUCAACCUUUCUCAAAGGAUGCCUCGCACCUUUCCCUGCAGGUUUUCCUGGGCUGCCUUUUCUGGUCUCUGGGUGAGUGCAGCCAUUGCACGCGUGCUCAGACAGAGUCACCGGAGCACAGGAAGAAAGACUGCGCUCCAGGGCUGCACAUAACAAAGCUGUGGUGGUUAAAAUGCCAACGCAGACUUGGCACUGAUUCUUUUCAGCCUUGUUCUGUCUGUAGGUUGGACCGGUGGUGAUUGCUGAAGAACGAAGAUGGUAGACUGACCUAACCUCUGAGCAGGUGAAAAAAAAAAUCAUUUCCGUAUGUAACAUCAUUGGGUCCGUGUGUUAAAUUAUUGAAGCCUAUAUUGGUUAAUGAUGAGCCGAUGCAAUUGCAUGUGUGUUUACACACUGUUCCUUGUGUCCUGGUGUCAAAGUUGUUGGUGGCGCCUUAUAGGGGCUAGCUAAUCUGGGUAGGCUCUUGGGUGGAUCUGAGUUGUUAUAUAUGACAAAAUCUAUCUAACCUGAUUGUCUCAACCUGCCCCUGUUCUGUACUUUGUCCUUCCUUUCUUUUUUUUCUCGGGGGAAAUAGCUGAAAAAUAGUAGGGAGGUGUGCUACUGUAUGGUUCCUUUUAUUUUAGGUAACAAAUAGUAGCUUCUCAAGUCAUACUUGAACCAGUUUUAGUUAGUCUUACACUCUUACUUCCGUAUUUCUUGAACCAGCAGGACAUGCCCAGAUUACAGCAGUACUGCCUCUGUUCAAAACAGAAAAAACAGGGGUACCAGUGUACAUGCCUUGUAUCAGAACUUGCACCCUUCUUAAAGUUAAUUUCUUGAAACAUUUCACCAGCCGGCCCAGUUUAACUGUUUUACUGAACCCCAAAUCCAUGACCUUCAGUUAUUGUCUGAACAUGAUGGCUGGGUACCAAGUACUAACCAACACACAUGCCAUGGAAUGUAGAUCAUUAGAUCAGGAACCAGGUCCUAGGAAUUCAGCAUCAUGUCUGAACCAGACUUACUAAUGGCACUCUAAAUCUAUUCACCAAGUUGGGGCAUCUCUUGCCGUCCACUUGGCGAGAGGAACAGAGGACAUCAACUGGGAAUUUGAUAGUGUCAGUUGACCUUAACCAUGCCGCUAGCUCUCUCUUGCAUGCAGGGUUGCAGCAGCACAGCACAUGAAGACACCGAACGCGGUUGGGAGCAAAAGGCGCUGCCUUUUCCCCUGUGUUCUUGUCUAUUGCACUUGGAUGCUCGCCGCUGCCGUUUGCAAGGCCUCAGAUGCUGCUGAAGCAAAGGGGAAAAGCCCGUCGUGCUGGGUGUGAUCAGCAUUAUCCACGGUACAGGCCAGCUGCUAGUCUUACCACGUCCUGAUGGUCAGGUUCAUGCUAGGCUGUUUGUUCCUGAUCACCUUUUUAGCUUUCUUGCACUCGCCUUUAACCUUUGAUGGUUGCUGGUGUGAAGCUUCGCCCAGGCCCAUGGCUGAUGCUUCUUUGCACUGCAUGCAUCUCACUGGUUGGUCAGAGAUGAGAGGCGCGUUGUAGGUCAUACAGGUUGGUGAAACAGGGACAGUGGAGUUAUUUUAUCAGUAACCUGCAAUUAACCACUUAGGACCCCUCUCACCGACCAUUUUCUUUCUUUCUUUUUCUACAAGGGAAUUCUGGUGGCGUGCGUCCACGGACGCGUACCGUGCGGCACAUUUACGGCAGUUGCGCCAUGCGGCCCUGUUCCCAGGACAGACGGUGCCCGGAAGGACGGGCACGCCAUGGCCUCCCUCACCGAGGCCAUGGAGCAGCGCCAUUGAUGGCCAGGGUUAUCGUUCUUGGAAGGGGUGGUUGCUGGCUGCUGCUGUGCCCUCCCUGUGCAAGCUAGCUGGAGGCCACUACGGCGGCUACAGCUCCUACCACCCCACGGCAGCGUUGCAGGGGUGACGCAGAUGGAGAAGGUGAGACUCGGGCGCCGACGGCAGCAGCGGUAACCCUUGCCAGCCGGGGACCAUGCGCCAGCGCGUGGGUGCGCUAACCUCGAGGACGAAUGCUGUAAUGGCGUGUCCUCGUCCGACCCUCCAUGGGAAAGGAGACCCGAAUUGAAGCAGGCGAGACAAGAGGCAGCAGGCAGGGAUCCGUCGGAGCCCAGCUAGGACCACCGCGCAGGGACGGCCGGAGAUGGCGAAGAUCCAGAAGCUGGGGGCAUGCAGGCAGCUGGCACGGCGGCCCUGCCCAUACACUGUGCAGGCCGCAGCGUGGAUUCUACUUUGUACAGCUGGUGCCUGGACUUACCAGUUUACCACUACACGAUUACAUGUGGUCAACUGGUCAAGGUCAACGGUUCAACACUGCACGACCGUUUCAGACCACCGUCCGGUAGACGCAGAUCGCAGCAAGGUGCAAGGCUACGGCCGGGAUGAAACGCUGGUUCCAGUUACAACGAGUGGUCUGUUACUGUUCUACUCGUGAGGUCAGUUCUAGACUUGCAGUUGACGGUUUGAGACAGGGAUUUUGAGUUGCGUACACCUCUAUUCGCUUGUCUACAACCUCGAAUAAAACUGACCACAGAUGCUGCUCCUACCAGAACGGCCACGGCCCUUGCUCUCAACGAGGCUACGCCGCUACGGAGUACACUACACCCAUUGGGCGCCAGAGGUUUCAGACUUCUGGGACGGCGAGGCCGGCCGGUUGGUCGGAAUCCGCAUCUCUGCAGGCAGCAGGCAGCCGGCCGGGGAGGAUCGGCGGUGGCCGCCAAGCGCAACGGGCAGCCCCGGCGCGGUAGCCUUGUCGCUUCCCCUGGCGCGGCGCGGCGCGGCGCGUGGCGUGGCAGUGGCACUGCUCGGUCGCGGCCGCGUCCAAGCGAGGGCGAGACCGGAGCUCGCCGCGCGAUGCGCGCAUGUGACCAGACCGCCGGCGUGCGGCCGGCCGGCCACGGCCACGGCCACGGACGUCAGCUUAGCGUGCGGCCAAAGGUAAAUUAAUUAGGGUUAGUGUAGGGAUGUGUACGGCCGGGUCGCGCAUGUGAACCGGCUUUUAACCGUAGGGAUCUGUCGUAACCUCGCAUCGCACUGUUCACUCGCCCGUAGUGAUCUGAUGUGCUUGUCCGGCUCCGUCUCCAGGCUCGAUCUGCAGCUGGCGCCUGUCUGAACUCGCUGCUAAGCAUGCAGGAGGGAGUAAUCGCUAGAUCUGAGUGUGCCGGUACGAGUGCCGGCGAUGGGUAAACUUUUGUACGGUGCGGCCGUUGAUGUACUGCAAGGGCAUUGUUUAAUUAUCCAGGGCUAGGUACAGUAACUUUUCCUUUUGACCAUGGUAGCGGGACUUGAGGACCAAGAUGCAGUGACUACUUCUGUUCUGGCAACGGUAUGUACUCCUGCUGCUGAAGCUGGUUAUAUAUUAUUACUAGGACUGGAUAAAAUUACAGGAUGCCUUCCAGCUGAAGGAUGGAAUGUGCUGGGUUAAAGAUCCUUUUAACCCUGCAGGUCCAGCAAAGAAGGUGGUCUUUUGGGCAAAGCAAAACAGGAGUAAACUAACAAAAGAAGCUUUUUACCCUAAUAAUGUUUGUUUAGGGCAGGUCUCUGUCUUACCAUGAGCCCACCCAUUAACCCAGGUUCCACGGGCAGUAAUUAAUAACCAACCAACAUCCACGCAGAGAGCCAAUGAUGAAACAAAACCCUACCUAGAUCGAUGCACCCUGCAAGAGUCUAUAAAGAUUUUGGAAAAAGAAAAAAAAAAGAUGCGUAUGCACUCGAGCACAGAAGGACAGGGGCAGUGCAUCAUAGGAAUCCCAGGUGGGAUGAGCCACUUCUUUUUUUCUUUUACUCGCCUUUGCCGCCGGAUCCUCCUCCAAUAUCGAUCUCACGCUCGCAUCAUGGUGACAUGAUGGAUGAUCCCCCAUGUGGCCCGUCCUGCACCUCAUCACAUGCAGCGCAACGCCCCAACAAAGCUAGAGCUAUCGCGGUUGAAGAGAGGAGAGCAGACAGAGGAGGAUCCUUGGCGUGAACUGUGACUGGCAAAGUGGCAAUGCAAGGGAGGGACCCCGAUUCGACCCAAUCAUUUUCGCACGCGCGUCACACAAUAGCACCUGGAUCUUUUCACGCAUGUUUAUGUUGCCAAACUCACCGCGUGAUGCUGUCGCUAAUGAACGUGAAAGCUCAAGUGAAAAAUAUUCCAUAUAUGAAUGUAUAUUUUUUUUUCAGAAGACAUAUGUGAUGUACUAUAUCGUAUAGGACUUCUUGUAUCGUUGCCACGUAGGUUUUUUUUUCAGUUUGAUGUGCCACUGACACGUGGGGUUGACUGUAUGUUUAUUUAGUUUCCCAGGACAAAGAUCUGAUGCACCGUCUCGCUCGUGUACCGUCUCAAUCUGUACUUGCUUUUCCUGUACACGUAGACAUACCACUCACCAAGUACAUUCUGUGCUCUCCGAUCCGUCCUUCUGAAAGCGGACCAUCGAGUUUUUAUGCAAGGCAGGCCACUGCAUGCACUACAGUGCCUAUGAUGUUGACCAGGUACAGACAGCUAGCUCCAUUACAGCAUUUUUUUUCUCUCAAAAUUAUGGCACACUAACUACUACCUCACGUAGCAUCGUCAUCUCGCAUGCAUGCAUGUCUCCGUCCAAUAAUGCGUACAAGACGUGUUUUGUCCGUGCCAGCGACCUGCUGCCCGUCCAUGACUUUGAGCAAGCAACAAACUUGGAUCAGCUGGGUUAGUGACACGAAUAUAAAAGCAGCCUAAGCUAAUCGUUUCCUCGGCCGUGAAAGCGACUGCACUAAUGCCCGUCACUAAACUAAUCGUGCUGCUAAGAUGCCAUCCAUUCAUGCAUGUACAAAUGUGAUGGCCAGAAAUGAAUGUCGUCAUGUCGAGAUUGAUCUUAUAUCUAUCUAUCUAUCCAUCGACCGAUCGAUCACGCAACCGAACGAUCGAGCACGCAGCCACGCACGAGCCCGACCACCCAACAAGCGUACACGCCAUGUGACAAGGAACAUGCGUGCGCAUGCAUGCAUGGACACGCUACGACAACAGGCAGUGAUGUGCCUGGCGCUGGCUAGCUAGCUCACUUCACUGCCGGCCGUCGUCUCGUCGUCUCCCCGAGGCCUUAUUCCAUUACACCUGAAUUUAUUCCGAGCAGAAAAUAAUAGGUAUAAUAAGAGACUCGUAACAGGUACAACAAGAGAUCGGAAUUUAUUCCGGAUCGGAAACUAAUCGUAACAAAAUACAUUAUUUUGGUAGAUAUAAAAUAGAUUCGUCGGUGCAUGCAUGCAUCAGGAUCCGAUUGAUAUCAUCCUCUCGUCUGGUCGGAUCCUCCAGCGCCUUUUCACAUUUGCUGAUUGGGUUGGUUGGGCUCCCCUGUAGCUGUUCUUGUGUUGCAUGCACAGCAAUGUGACAACCGGGUUUACCUCUUCCGGGGGACCCCAGCUGGCAGCUGCUGACCCUGCACAUCACUCAUGGAGCAGUAUCAACAAGGUUAUGGAGGGAUCGUUUCGUUUCGUGGAUGAAUGUGGGACCAGUUCAUGGUGGCAGUCAGGUUGGCAAGGUUUUCUUCUGUUGCUUUAUUUGCUGGCCGCCCGGGAUAACUACUGUUCAAGUGUUAGUAGUGUGUACAAUGUUCACAUCUGUCUGCUGUUUCCCCACAAGAUGAGUUUCAUUCGUUUAUUUGGAUGGGCAAGACCGAAUCAUAUAUGGAGUUUAGUUUUGGUGUGAAUGAUGUAGAGUUCUUGAAAAACUGACAAACUAUCCUUAUGCUUAACAAGUGUACCGACUCUUCGAAAAAUAGCGUCGUCGGCGAAGAGCUUUGGCGACAUUUGGUGGGUCGGCUCCAUUCAAGACUGAACAUAGCGGUCAGAGUUAGUAGGUGUGCAUGGAGCUGAAACGUGUACGUGCUGCUGGCCCGUUUAAGAGGGAGGUGAGGUGCGUAUAAAAGAACAUGUAUGUGUGUGUGUGUGGCUGAUGAAGCAGCUACGUCUUUUUUUUGCGCCACGGGGGCCGAGCGCAACUGACGCAUGAAAGCGCCGUCCAGCCGCCCGGACGCAGAACCGGCGUUGAAGUAUGAAUGAAGUGCCCGUUUCCUGUCCAAAACCGAAAAAAAAAAGUUUGGGUUUUUAGAGGAGGCGACCAGCAGUCCGGUACAGUACCAAACGCCAAGCCCGCUCGCCUGGAAAGGGAGAGAGUCAGCAAGGACGACCCCCCACCCCCCCGAUCAAUACGUGUAACGCCCGUCACUCUCGCUCCUUUUCAGCGCGUAAUUGCAGAGACAGACCGCGUAAUCUCCCUCCGCGAAACUAAUCCCGUCCCCAACCGCAACCAGCAACCCAAACUACCACACCGUCGGCACGGCGGCAGGGCCGGAGCUCAACGUCACGGUUCCCGAUGACGCCCGCCUGCCGCGGAGGCGAGCAGGCGACGGGCGGGCCCAACUACCUUCCUGCUGCCGCAAUACGUAUCCAUGGCGCAGCAGCUCGGCAUCAGUACGGGUACAGGGGAAAGGAAGCGAGGUCGUCAGAGACAGCGACGCGUGUCCUGCGUGCCGCGCCGGCGGCCGUCCGAUGCGGCCGGGCCCCGACUCUGUUCGAAAAUUUAUAGCGGGCGGUAGCGGAGCGGGCGUGGAAUCUGAGCACCGGCGUUUUUCCGGGCGAGCUCACGGCCGUCGCGGAGCCGCGGCCUCGGCGGCUUCCUCCCUCCGGUCCGUUCUGUUCCCACGCCCCCACGCGGCCGCACCACGCCACCACCCACCCGGCGCGUCGCUUCUUUAUUCCGCUCCCACCCGGCCUUGCGGCCUCACAUGCCAUUGUUGUUGUCGUUGCCAACCCCUCGCGGCCUCGCUCUACUUGCACCGGCUCCCCCAUCCCAUCCACCUGCUGCUGCUGCUCAGCCCUGAGCGCGAGGGGAGGGCGCUGAGCUACCGAGAGGCGAGAGGGCUCCAGCUCCCCGCUCGGCUCGUGUUGGGUCAACGCGUGCCGUGUGCUCGGAGGACGGCGGAGGAGAGGGAGGGCGCGGUGAUGCCGGCGCUGCUGGGUGCUUAGGUAGCUCGCCGCGGCGGCAAUGGAGGGGAGGAGGCGCGGCGCGGGGGGAGGCGGCGGAUCGGUGGCUGCGGUGGCGCUGUGGCUGCUGGUCGGCGUUUUGUUGAGCGGCGGCGCGGCCGGGCUCAACGCCGACGGGACGCUGCUCAUGUCCUUCAAGGCCGCGGUCACGGCGGACCCGCUGGGCGCGCUGGCCGGGUGGGGCUACGACGCCGCGGAGCCCUGCGCCUGGAACGGCGUCGUCUGCAAGGGAUACCCGCAGCCCGACGGCGCGGCGGCGGCGGCCGUGAACGUGACCUCGGCCUCCGCCUCCGACGGCGGCGGCGGCGGCGCCAACUCGACGACGGCCGCCUGGAACGGCACCGCGGCGGCGGGCGCGGGCGGCCUCAGCGCGUCGCUGGCGGCGGCCACGGUGUCGCGGGUCAUCAGCCUGGUGCUCCCCAACGCGCAGCUCUCGGGGGCGCUGCCGCCGGACCUCGGCCGCGUCGAGCACCUGCAGCACCUCGACCUCUCCGGAAACGCCCUCAACGGCAGCCUCCCGGCCGCGCUGCUCAACGCGACCGAGCUCCGGGUGCUCUCGCUCGCCGGGAACGGCAUCUCGGGGGAGCUCCCGGACGCCGCGGCGGCGUACGCGCGCGGCCUCCAGGAGCUCAACCUCUCGGGGAACGCGCUCGCGGGGCGCCUCCCCGCCGCGCUGUGCAGGCUGCCGAGCCUCGCCGUGCUGGGGCUCGCCGGCAACCGCCUCGCCGGGGAGCUCCCCAUCGGCGGGCUCGGGGCGCUGGAGCUCGUUGACCUGAGCGGCAACGACCUCAACGGCUCGCUCCCGUCGGACUUCGGCGGGAGCCGGCUCCGGCUGCUGAACAUGUCGUCGAACAAGCUCGACGGCGCGGUGCCGACGGAGCUGGCCGCGGUCGUGCCGGCGAACGCGACGGUGGACCUGUCGCGGAACAACUUCACCGGCGCGAUCCCGCAGGCCGGGCCGUUCGCCGCUCAGCCGGCGGCGGCGUACGAGGGCAACCCGGACCUGUGCGGUCCGCCGCUGAAGCAGGCGUGCUCGAUCCCGUCCUCGCCGUCGAACCCGCCAAACGCCACCGACUCGCCGCCGGCGUUCGCGGCCAUCCCCAAGAACCCCACGCGCGCCCCGCCGGGCGCCGGCGGGCAGCCGCAGGCGCCGCGCGACCAGGAGAAGCUUCGUCCGGCGGCCAUUGUCGCCAUAGUCGUCGGGGACAUCGCCGGGGUCGGGCUCCUCUUCAUGCUGUUCCUGUACGCGUACCACGUCAGGAAGAAGAGGCGGCAGCGGCGGGAGCAGGACCCGGCGCCGCCGAUGCAGCAGAAGAGCGCGCUAGGAAUCGACGGCGCGGUCAAGACGCUUGACAUCGCCGGAGGCAAAGAAGAUAAGGCGUCGACAUCGAUGCGGUGCUGCAUUGGCCGACGGCACGACAGCUCGGACAGCUCCGAGUGCUCGGUGUCGUCGGACGGCGAGUCCGACGACGGCGAGGACCUCAAGAAGCGAGGAGGCCUCAUCGGCCGGAGCACCCCGCAGGACCACGGCAGCAAGAAGCACAACCCACCCCAGCAGCAGGCGCCCCCCGCGCCGGCGACGCUGGUCACGGUCGACGGCGACGGCGAGCUCGAGAUGGAGACGCUGCUCAAGGCGUCGGCCUACAUCCUGGGCGCCACGGGCUCGAGCAUCGUGUACAAGGCCGUGCUCGCCGACGGUACCGCGCUGGCCGUCCGCCGCAUCGGCGAGAGCGGCGGCGCCGACAAGCUCAAGGACUUCGAGGCCCAGGUGCGCGCCGUGGCCCGGUUCCGGCACCCCAACAUCCUCCGGCUGCGCGGCUUCUACUGGGGCGCCGACGAGAAGCUCCUCAUCCACGAGUACGCCCCCAAUGGCAGCCUCGCCAACAUCGCUUUCAGCAGUAAGUCCUUCGUCUACCUCACACCAUUUCUUGUUUGUUACCACAUUCAGCACUAAAAUUUUGCUCAAGCAUUGGAAAGUUGCUUAAUUUGAUACCGACAUCUUAGCAGAACUAGCGAUUCACUUGUUGUACAGUUCAUAAUCUCGAGCUUCAAUCAUGUGCAAAGUUUGGCGGCAACGGCUUAGUCCUAUGAAAAGGUGGCAUCUUUACUGAUCGUACUGUGCUGCAGCUUAAAUGCGCAUUACUAGUACUAAUCCAUCUAUUGUCUAGAGCUUAAUCAUGCUGGUCAGAGGUACUGAUUGUACAAAAUUUUGUCAUUGAUCACAAUCACUGCAAUUCUUGAUGGCUCCUUGGUACUGGCAGUCCUGCUGACCUCCAAAUCAAGCAAAAAUCUGAAAGAACUGUCCUUGGUUGCUCGAGUAGUUGUGGAUUUACUCUGAAUUCAUAACUCAUUGGCAUUGUAUAUGCAACGUUCGCUUGAUCUGGUGAUGACCGGGGGUGAUGCCGCUGCGUGUGCAGGGCGGUUCGGGGCGUCGUCGCCGCUGCACCUGAGCCUGGAGGCGCGGCUGCGGAUCGCGCGCGGCGUGGCGCGCGGGCUGGCGUACAUCCACGAGAAGAAGGGCGUGCACGGCAACCUGAAGCCGAGCAACAUCCUGCUGGGCGCGGACAUGGAGCCCUGGAUCGGCGACCUGGGCCUGGACCGGCUGCUGUCAGGCGAGGCGGCCGGCCACCGCGCCGGCGCGUCGGCGCGGCUGUUCGGGAGCAAGCGAUCGAUGCACUCGACGAGCAGCCUGCCGGACCUGUCCCAGAUGCCCGGGCCGGGCGCGAGCCCCUGCGGGUCGGCGUCGGCGGCGGCGGCGACGUCGUCGGGCGCGGCGGGCGCCCCGUCGCCGUACCACGCGCCCGAGUGCCUCAAGAACCUCCGGCCCACGGCCAAGUGGGACCUGUACGCUUUCGGCAUGGUGCUCCUGGAGCUCCUCUCCGGGCGCGUCUACUCGGAGGUGGAGCUCUGCCAGUGGCACGCGGGGCUCGUCGCCGAGGAGCACGGCCGCGUGCUCCGGAUGGCCGACCCCACGCUCCGCGGCGAGGCCGACGGCAGGGAGGACGCGCUGCUGGCGUGCUUCAGGCUCGCCUUCGCCUGCUGCGCCAUGGCGCCGGGGAAGCGGCCCGCCAUGAGGGACGCCGUGACGGUUCUCGAGAGGGCGGCGGCGGCGCCCCCCGGCGCGCCGGCCGGGUCCAGCGCCGCCAUUCCUUGAGAGAGAAACUGACCUCGGGCUCGGAGGUGCUUGGUCGCGUUCACUGAUCGCAAUAAUUUUACUGCAAGGAUGGUGGUGGCUGUAAUCACUGGUGGCAAGUUAAGGUUUCUUUGCUAGAGCGUGUAGAUCUGUCACUAAUUUUUGGGAUUAACCUACUGAUCCUUCGUUUGUUUUUGAGAGUACUCUGCGAUGUCGCUCUCGCGCGUGCCCAGAAGAUUACUGAUUGCCGGCAAUGGCAUGUGUCCCGGCCCCGGCCGGCGCGGCCGGGGUCCGGUGUGCACGGCGGGCGGCAGGCGGCGGAAAUUGUGGUGCCCGCCAUGCAUGUCUGGUGUCUGCUCCGCUCCUGCUUCUCUCCAGUGCUCUUUCUCGUAUUCCUUCGCAGCACGAUCCAUGGUGGCGCCGUCGCCACCACCAUUGCCCUUCCUCGUCCUCGAGAUGGACCACGGGGCAGGCGAUUCUUUGUGGGGAGGUUGGGGAUGGUGCAGCAUUUAGUGCUUCGAGCGUGGAGCAGGCGGCCGUGUCGGCCGGGAGUGGCAGGGGUUUUUCUGCCGGCCCGGCCUGCAGUCCUGCGCUGCCCUGCUAGUACUCUCGCCUCGUGGCACGUGAUCUCGGCAGAGGUUAAGCCAGUGGCCACGGGUUUUCUUAGUGCUAAAACGCAACUGGUGACAGGUUAACAUCCAGUUCGUGACCUCAUAUGCCCCGGUUAAUGAGGUUAAACAAAUGUGGUAAAAGACUAAAAGGUUCAUGGCCGGCAUGCGCCCCAAGGGCAUGUUUGCUGCCACAGCUCACAUGCUGCAUUGCUUAGAAAAAUGGGAGUGGUAUGCAGACAAGGAUUGUGAAACAAGCUAGGCGAAGCAGGUCAGCCUGAACUCUUGAUGGUCAAGAGGAUCUGAAUGAACUCUGAGGGGAGUAGUGAGUGUGCAUAUUUAAGCAUGCUUCAGCCACACUGCUAAUGCACAUGCACAGCAUUUGCUCCUGUGCGAGAUGCAUGUAUUGUGUACUCGAGCAGCAACCUUGACUAGCAUUUCCCUCCAGUUCAGUGGCACAACUGAACCAGUCAAAAACAAGCAGAUAAAUUCCACCUAUAUGAUUGUACACUGUUAUAAGUUGUGUGUGCAAGUGUGCAACAGAUCCAACAGUAAAACAGUAGUGUUAAAUUACGAGUAAACAGCUGAAGAUGGGGGAUGUACUGGAUGAUAAGAUAAUGGGUCAUCAUAGUGUCCGUCACAGCAGAUCCAGCCUGCAGAUCUCUAGUAUCGCAUCAGCACCAUCUUUCAUUAGUUUAUAAGAACUAGUACAAAAAUAUGAGUGAGGAAGCUUAAUCAGAUCUCACACCAUGUGUGAGUUAGCCACCCAGGGUGAGCAAACUUAGAGAAACAGAAUUAAAAAACCUGCAUAAAAUAUCUACAGAGCAGAACUCGAGUUCAGGUUUACCUAAUACCUUGAUGCAGACAUUCUCCAGAACUCAUCAGAUAGCUGUCUGGUGUUACUAGAUCCAGUGCUGCAUGUUAAGCUCAGGGUUCAGAGAGCAGAAAAUAAGCAUCUUUUGUCUAUGCUAGCAGGUGGUCAAACAUGACGUUGCCUUGUCAGUUGAUCAGGAACUUCUGUUGGCAUCAUACUGGGAUGAUCUUGGAUUUAGUACUUGAUCACAUGAUGCCGCAGCCACAGCACAUACAUGAACAUGUGAAUGGUUCCUCUGCAGUAUUGCAGAGGAUGUUUGUCCAUGAAAUGCAUCAUAUGGGAUAGGAGGUCACUCGAAGACUCAAAGUGCUUCCGGAAUCUGGACCUGCAAUUUCAGGCGAGUUCUUACUACAGUGCUUUAUCAAAUUUGACGGCUCCCUAUCUUCAAUUUUUUUUGGAGGCUCCUUAGUCCUUAGUAUAGUGCUAUAUUGAAACUUCAGAAUAACAAAAUGCUCUCUAGUCAGGGGGAUAACUACGAACAGAUAGAAUCACAUCCAAAGAACAUAGUUGCUCUAGUGAUAGUCGUGAUGCUAGUAUGCUACUGAUUUGCAAAGGACUACAUGUCACUCUGUUACUCAAGAUAAGCAUACCUUAACCAGUGACUUGUGUAACAUGAUGGACUCUUCCUGUGAUAGAUAGAGACUUCAAAAUACUCUUAAGCUGGAACACACCGUUCCCUUUCAGUAUGACUGUAAACCAGCUUAAGUCAUCCUAUUAGAACGAAUACAAACGGAAUAAUAGUCCCAAACGCGAAUUGAGCAUACCUUAGCUGUUCACCUGGGUUGGUUAAAGUCUCCACUCUCCAACUUGGAGCGGCUCUUGAGAUCGACAUGGCUCAUGUCUCAGGUUAGGAUAGGGUGCUCAUGCGUGCACACGAGUGUUUGCAUCUAUGUUUCGAAGAAAAAGUCUAGCAUAUAAUGUCCAAUCUCUAAAUGCAAAACAAAGAGGUUCUCUAAUCUCUGUGUCUAUGUAUAUAAUGUCACCUGCUUAAAUUACAUUAUGUUGCAGAACGAAACAGUUCUGACGGGGACGUAAAAAUAUCCAAACAAACCCACAGUACGAUUCCGGUGCCCCAGGCUUCAGGAUCACCGAGAGCUCACUGCCAAGAGCGCGGCGAGUCCAGCUACCAACAAGCAAAGGCCAGAGCUGGUGCCAGCCGUCGUGGCUCCGCUCUUAGUGCUGGAAUCAUUUGAAGACAAUGCAGCGCCAUGACCACCAACGGUUACUGGUGGCAGCAGCGGAUCCACGACGUCGGCAGGUUCUAGCACCGGCGCUGGACCCUGCGCCGGUGGCAGUGCAUGGGGGUCUGUCACGUUGAGCAAAGACCCGGGCCUUGGAGGCAUGGCCGUGUAGGUCAGGUUCUUACUGAAGUCACUGCAUGGGCUCCCUGCAUUGCAGUCACAAGAGGGAUAUGGAAGAAAUGUGUAAGCUUCACGCUGAUACAAAUAUGGAUAAUGUGAAAUGCUAGCAGUUACACAUGCAACGCUGAUGGGCAUAUAGCACUACUCACUGAAGUACUCAGCUGCCGUUGCAGGGAACUCGGUCAUGAUCCCUUCAGCCAUCAGAGACGAGUACAGCACGAUCUCCGCCAUUGGGUUAGCACAGAAGUCAAAUGCAAGGUUCAUGAACUCGUCCCUGAGCACCCUGACGUACACUGACAGGUUUGCGCUGUGCAUCUUGUCGAUCACAUCAGUGAACCGCACAAGGAAUGACCCUUGCGCCUCGACAACUAAGCCACAGCUGAUGGACACAGCGUCUGCAAAUUUGGCCACCUCCUCCACAGACUGUUUGGAGGCGUCGCUGAUCAUGUGGCCGAUCUGGAGGACCCGCUUGAACCCUGGGAACUUACUGAAUGCUACAAGCACGGCGUAGUCGUCCGACGCAAUGAGGAUCUGCUGCCUGGUAUCUUUGUCGUAGCUGGCAUUGACAAGCGCACUGGAAACAGCAUCCACAAUGCUGAUGCCUCUGGUUGCUAGGUGCGGAGCAUUCUGCAUUGACCACAACAGCAUUCAUCUAAAACUCGAAAUGAAUUAGAAUGGCAUGCAAGAAUGGAUUUAAGAAAGCUUGCUUACACUAAUGUCAACUAGUAUGCCAGAGACGUUGCUUCUCUUUGAGAAGGCCAGGAAAUCAGCUAAUGCCAUGAGUUUCCCACUGUUCUUUGCUGCUGGAUUUCUUGUUAGUCCUUCUUGAUUGAACGGGCCAACAAGGUCAGCUGAAGGGACCAAAAUGAAGUUGUUAGCGUGGAACAUGCUAGCAUUUUGAAACAGAACUUGUGGCAAAGCAAAUGAGGUUAUACUUACGCUUUAGGUUUUGGAUCUCGCUCCAUGAAAGAUCAAAUGAGAAGAUGCCAGACCCGUUCUGUAUUUCAUUCACAUUGGCAACUUUUGUCAUGAACAUUGUUGCCGCUGUUGUGCCUUUUGUAAGAUCUGGAGAGUCCAUGCAAAAUGGCACUGCAUCCUUCGACAUCUGUACUGAACAGUCGAUUAUAUCUGUGCCGUCUUCCACUGCUUAUCGAUAUGCAAGGUCGGAGGCACCGGGGAAGAUGCCACUUGCACCAUUGUGGGUGAUGAUCAGUGGCCUGGUAUCAUCUAGUCAAGUUCAGAUGUUAGGUCAUUGCAAAAUGGCAAAAGUAUCAAUUAUGACAACAGGUUGAAGGACAGGCUUCUUACUUCUGGGAGGAGGAAGAGGGUUGUCCUUAGUAUGUGCUAAACAGGCUGCAAAAAGAGACAGACCCUAAAAAGGUUAAAGAGUGCACAACAGAAUCAAGACAUUCAUUGUUUUCAACGACCAGGUCAGAUUACAAGAAUUGUCUUGUCGAGCAUAAUAACAUGCAAACAAUGUAGUGGUAAUUGAACUACUCUAUUUGUGAACAUCAGUUUAGCUUUUCCAAACAUGUAGUGGUCCUUACCAAUGGCUGCUGAAGCUGUGGACAGGAAGUCCGUGAGGACACCAUCAACAGAGAAGUCAGAAUUAUCAAUAAACUGCAAAUACUCGGCACUAGGAUCAUAGCUGUAGUUGUAACUUGAGAUGGAAUCAUUGGCAAACUUAAAUGCAUAGACCUCCAAGCCUAGGGCAUGAGCAUCUUUCACCAAAGUAGUAGUUGGUUGCAAGUACUGAUCCUUGUUCACAGGCCAAAUGUAAUUCUUGGGGACGAGAAUUCCUGAGGCAAAAGUCUUGACUGAUUUCAAGUCCUUUAGAAUGGCUCCAUAGGUUUGUUUUGUGGAAGGUUCGAUGAGUUUCUCAUCAAGAAACCGUAAAACGAACUUCACAUUGCUCUUCCUCAGCUUCCCACCAAGGCUUUUAAGGAAUCCAACUUCAGGUGAGGAGACAUAAUUGACCCCAAAUUCUUUCGCUUUAGAUGAUAUAUAUUUUUCGAUAUUUAAUUUGUGAACUGACCAUACUACAAAUGGGAAGGUAAGAACAGCUAUUAGCAGGAGUAUAGUUUAACGAGUGUGAAUCCGAUAGUCUAAAUACAGGGGAAGAACUAUAGCUAGCAGUGAAAACAUGCUUACCUGUACAUUAAUCCAAAAUUGAGCAGGGUGGAGUCCUACUACAUCAUCAACAAGGCUCAUUCCCGUGGUGCCAUCAAAUAUGCUCGGGCGAGACAGAACAUUCUGGAUCACUACGGGACGAUCAGAGUGUGACAUGCUAAGUCAAUACUGAUUGGAGUUAAGAGCAAGAGAAAUUAAAUAUGGUAAGAAUCCCAAUCGUAUAGGAAGGACAUGCAAACAGUUAAUUUCAUGACUUUUGUGAAUAACUUCAAGCAUACAGAAUAAACAAGACCAUGACAAACUUCUUGGAAUGUUGCUCAAGUUAUUUUUACUCACAUGUGACAUUGUCCAUUAACUGAUUUGAAGUGAAGUCGACUGAAAACCAUCCAUGCAGAUCAUCUCCAUUCACUUUGUAUGUCUUGGCAUUCUUAGGGAAGACCUCAGCUAUUAGCGUUGAGUUGUCAAGUGCCAGGCCAGUCUUGCAGAAUCCAACAUUGUCACUAGAAAGUUGCAGAUCGCAGAAAAGAAUAGCUUCAGGGAGACUAUUCAUGCAGAUUGGCUUGAAUCAGGGAACAACCCAGAGUACCCACCACGAGCUAUGACUAAUGGAGGAGCACCUAUAGAGUAAGAGGGUCAGCAAUAUCACGCUGUACCAUGCAAUGACUGCAUAGAAUUGUUCAAUCAAAUAAUUUUGUUUUAGAAAUACAAGGCGUUAGCAUAUUUACCACUUAGAGUCCGCCAUUUCUGUAUUGGGUCCUUCAAAGCAGCACUAGCUCCGUGAAGCAAUAGCAGGAUAAGAAACAUAUGAGAAUAUCUUACUCCCAUUUGGGUCGGAAGGGCACCCUGCAUUAGGAAAUGGCUCUGUGAGAUGUACAUAUGGAAGAGUUGCGGAUGAGAAGAGAAAAGCAUAAUGCACAGACAUUGAAACAAUGACAUCUAACAGAUGAAAACUGAAACAAUUUGCCAUAACUGUAAACCAACAUCUAUUUGAUGCAAAUAAAAAAUUAAUAAAACAAGGGCAACAGCAUUCAGAAUCAAUGGAAAAACACAAAAGGUCAAAUGAUUGCAAUGCGGGAACAUAACCUCACACCGCAUUUGAGGAAUGCAAACAGCUGUGUGUGAGCCUUUUGCUUUUUCACAUUUUCCUUGUAAUAAAAGAUUAAAAAUUGAAGAAACAAGUAAAUGAGAAACAUAAUCUCAAAAUGUAUGAAGAAUCUAAAUAAACAUGAUAAGGAAAGAAAACCAACUAUGAUCAUGAGACUUUAACUUCUUGACAAAAGCUAUCCACCAAACCCAUAAAAGAAGGGCUUAAACUCUCAAUGCUAGAUUGUGGACAGGAGGCAAAAGAGGAGGUUUUGUCAAGACCAACCAAAGUAGUGCUUUAAAAGGCCACCACCAGUUGGGAGCGUUAGCCUAAAAAACUAACUAGCACAGAUCGUAACUUAUUCAGUAGUAUCUUUGGCAGAACGUGGAAGAGAUAAUUGUCUUGACAUGGGUGAGAAAGAAUAACAGCUCUGUAAUAAAUACUUAUGGGUGGUUUCUUUCUAAGGUGAUUAUGAUGUCAGUCACAAAGUUGCACAGUAUUGUCUUAACUCUCACCUGCUGUGAAACUCACAUAGAAUUACAUGUUUCAGGAGCAACUUAUGACUAACUGAAUGUACUGUUAAAACUGGCAUAGAGAAAUUUUUUUCUCCUAGUAAAUUCCUCAGACAAGUAAGAACGGAAAUAAGUUUACCUCAAUAUAUGGUUUGUACGAUUCUUUAGCACCCUCAAUAAAUUGUAUCUUCCACAUCAGCCGCCAGAUCUGUCAAGAUGGCUUCCAUUGCCAUGCUCCUCCUGAACAGGAUUAACUGUCACCCUGCUGUUGCUGGCCUUAGUCGUGACAUCCCCAUUGUGAUGGCCUGGAUCACGGCUCAAUAGCCAUCAUCCUUGUUACACCCUCCCAAUUUUCUGAAAACAGGAAGUGUCUACAAGAAAUAGGUAGCCAUACCUGUCCACAUGACCAGGACAAGAAGACUUAUAAGUAUAUAACUACUACUAGCAGUAGAUGGGUAAUCAGAUGAGUUUUUCUAAAUUUUAGAACAUUGUACCCAUCCUGUCACCAAUGUCUCUAUUGCUCUCAGCCAAAUUUCCUCCAGCAGUGAGCUACAUGGUUGCAGCUCAUCAACUGUCACACUCCCAUGGAUCUGUAGCACUCUAGCAACAAUACAUGGAGAAAUGAAUAUAUCCCAGCUGUACAGCAUUGGAAACAUGUUGGUCAUUGUUCUCACGUUGGAAUUGUAUCAGGCUAUCAUUUUCUCCUUAUUUUAUUUCUUAAUUACUUGUAUACCGAUUAAAUAAAAAAUCAGUGGAAGUGUUUUUUUCCUAGAACAUUGCAUUAAGAAGAAGAAAGUAUUGAAGUUCAACACAUCCUAACAGAUUACAUUCGCACCUCAGAAACAUAAUAAGUGACCUACAGAAACAACAAUAAGCUAAAGGGCAGUGCCGCCAGUCGCAGCUAGCUGCAAUAAACCUUUAACCCCAGCCAAGCCCCAGAGGUGAGCUUCUUCGCCGGCGAUGCUGAAAACCUUUUGAAGGCAAGGCACAUCACCACUGAAAACACAGUCACAGUCACUUCAUUGAUUCCAGAUCAACCAAGCUCCUAGAAGAAUCAGUGAGUUUAGCCCAGGCUUCAACGGAAUGUCAACCAUGCCACUAAUCUUCAAACACCAAACAGACUAUGUCAUCAGGUGGUGGCGACAAGUCCGGUAGGCAAAACCACCUAAACAAGAGGAAAAACCUGUCUUGAGAAAACACAUGAUGUCAUAAUAUGCUGAAUAUUUGUGUCACUUGAUCACAGAUUGGCAGCAUUCGGGAUGCGGCAAGCCCCUUCGAGCUGUCCAACCAAGCCAAAGAAAAAAAUUGGCAUUUCCUAGGAGCCCAUGAGUGGAAAAACUGUUAAAGGAGCAAGACGGGGGAAAAAACAAUGGAACUUUUCUUAAAACUAAUAAUGACUUUUAGAACAUUUCAUUAAACCAGCAAAGCAUAUCUGGAGAAGUCUAUAGAUGCCUAAGAUAAUUAAACAAGCCGAACUUGAGAAGAAGCAUGUGAAGAAGAGAUUUUAUUCCCCUUGUACUGACAUGAUAUUAGAAAUAAGAUUAUCUAAUGGAUCCCAUAUCACAAUUGGGACAAAAGUCUCAAUUUCAGUACAUAUGAUAUGAUUUAGACACGUCGAAACCACCACAUUGCAUUUCCAGCGCUUAAUAUUGAUCCCCUUAGAUCCCAUUGAGUGUGAUCACAAUCUGGCGAGGAGUAGCAUAGUCUCGAUGUUCACAGAGCCAUAUACCCU